Molecule: long non-coding RNA, 59594 nt
Filed under: Glycine max (soybean)
Lineage: Eukaryota; Viridiplantae; Streptophyta; Magnoliopsida; Fabales; Fabaceae
Description: long non-coding RNA (GMAX_LNC002768)
Source: RNAcentral
UGAACCCUCAUCUAGAGCUUUUCUCUUUGAAAACCUAUUGUUGCUAGUAGUCCCUACUGCUACAAUAUGUUCUUCAAAGGGGAUGAUACCUCUAGAAACCAUCAAGAGAGAUAUAACUACCUUGGGGAUUAUUGCUAAAAGCCUAGUUAGUUCUCUCCCUUAUAGGUCCCUUAAAUAGGGGCACGAAGCAAACACGCUGCGUGCCAUUUUUCACACUGCCAUGCAUGAGUAUCAUAUACCCUUUUGCUUAUGUUCAGUAAAUAUUGUCAUACUGUGCACAUUCCCGCAUUGUGUCUUUUGCAUAGGCAUUGCAUAUGGGUUCUGUCUUGAUCCCUACUGUAAACAAACCAACGGAGGGUCCGUGUCGCCUUCUUAAAAACGUGCGUUGGGGCAUUUCGUUGCCCCUAGACGCCGUAUCUAAGAAGGGGACAAAUUCCCCGGACCCCCGCAUUCCUAGAUUGCAUCUGUGUCAUAUGCAUUCCGUCAUGCAUUCAUCCAUCCCACCCAUGAGAUAUCGGAGUUUUGAUUUGCACCAGCUUUUAUCUCACUUUGGUAAGCAUGGGAACAAAUCAAACCGGCAAGAGGUUCUACCAAGUCAAGGUCAAAAGCCUAGAUACCACCAGCAUCAAGGAAUUAGGGCGGUUGAUGGAACCCCUCCAAAUGCAAACCUUCCGCAAGACUUACGGAAAGAUCUUAGAGUUGACCAUAGCAGAGGUGUCCAUAGAAGCCAUUGUAUCACUUACCCAAUACUACGACCAGCCUUUGAGGUGCUUCACAUUCGGAGACUUCCAAUUAGUACCAACCAUUGAAGAAUUUGAGGAAAUUCUAGGAUGUCCCCUCGGGGGAAGAAAACCAUAUCUUUCCUCCGGGUGUCUCCCCUCUUUGAGCAGAAUUGCAACUGUGGUCAAGGAUUCAGCAAGAGGUUUGGACCGCAUAAAACAGAUUCGGAACGGCAUAGCGGGCCUACCACAGAAGUACCUAGAAGACAAGGCGAGGGGUAUGGCCCAUCAAGGAGACUGGAUCCCGUUUAUGGAUGUGCUAGCUUUGCUAAUUUUUGGGGUCGUCCUCUUUCCAAACGUGGAUGGUUUGGUAGACCUAGCAGCAAUCGACGCUUUCCUUGCCUACCACCAUAGCAAGGAAAGUCCGGUGGUAGCUGUCUUGGCAGAUCUAUUUGACACGUUUGACCGAAGGUGCGAAAAGAGUAGCGCACGGACCAUCUGUUGCUUACCCGCUCUCUGUGUUUGGUUGGUUUCGCACUUGUUCCAACAAGACACAAGACAUCCAUGUCCGCUCCUGAGCCAUCGCUCGUGUACUGAAAAGAGGAGAAUAGAUUGGGACCGGCUCUUGGCCGGGAUAGGAGGUAGAACAAUCAGUUGGUUCCCCCGAUGGAAGGAAGGAAAAGGAGUCCUUUUUCUCAUGUGGAAGAUACCCAAACAUUCCGCUGGUAGGAACGAGGGGUUGUAUUAACUACAAUCCCGCGCUCGCUAUAAGACAACUAGGGUACCCCAUGAGGGGAGCACCGACGGAAGAAAGCAUGUCUCCUUUCCUUGUGAGGGAUUUCGGCGCACAAAAUUCCAAGACUAUACAAAGAGUCCAUAAGGCAUGGGAAACCCCGUUAAGGAAAGAUCAAGAGCUUAGAGGCAUUCGUAAUGGCAUCAUUGGUGGGUACCACGAAUGGCUGAAAGUUCAUAUACGAGGUUUAGAUUGGCUCGCCAAGUUAAAAGUCGUCAGCGAAGAGAAUUUUGAAGCACCGGAAGAAGACAAAGAAGUCCAAGCUCUCAAAAGCGAGUUAGGAAAGGCAAAACUUGCCAAGGAGAAGUUCAAGUUGGCCGCUACACACGUUCGGAAGGAGUGUGCCGGGUUACGGGAAGAGAGUGCAAUUACCGCAAGAGCCCUUGAACAAGAGACCAAGAUGGCUCGCAAGGAAGAGUAUGGCCGGAACAAAUUUCGCGGAGCUCUAUGGGGUGGCAAUAGUGAACUCAAGUUGCGAAGGGAAGAAAGGGACCAGUCGCGAGCACAUGGCAUGGUUUUGAAAGAGGAGUUAGUUGCCUGUUCAAGGUCCAAAAGAAGCUUGUCUCAGCGUUUAUGCGAGACGGAGACCAACAUGCUAGCUAUCAUCGCCAAGUACCAAGAAGAGUUAGGUCUAGCCGCGGCCCACGAGCAUAGGAUUGCGGACGAAUAUGCCCAAGUAUACGCGGAAAAAGAGGCUAGAGGAAGGGUGAUCGACUCUUUACACCAAGAGGCAACCAUGUGGAUGGAUCGGUUUGCUCUUACCUUGAACGGGAGUCAAGAACUUCCCCGAUUGUUAGCCAAGGCCAAGGCGAUGGCAGACACCUACUCCGCCCCCGAAGAGAUUCAUGGGCUUCUCGGCUAUUGUCAGCAUAUGAUAGACUUAAUGGCCCACAUAAUUAGAAAUCGUUAGGAAACUUGUAUGGUCUCUCAGACCUUGACUAGAUACGACUUCCUUUUUGAAAUAAAAUGAGUUGGUCCCAUGUUUCUACUCCAAAAAGCUUAUGCAAAUCAAGUCACUCCCGCAUUUUAUCUCUAGCAUGCAUUGUAUGUUGGUCUCGUCCUUUGUCACGGGAAGCCGGAAGGUCCAUAUCACCUUCUUAAUUGUACACAUGGGGCACUGCGCCCCCAAAUGCGCAAGUAAGAAGAGAUAAUUUUCCGGGCUCUCGUGUCCGUAAAAUGCAUUCAUAUCAUGCAUCGCAUAAGCAUCUCUUCAUAACAUCAUAAUGGACAUAUCCUGCAUUUGUCCGUUAUCAUAUUCCAGCCUCACAUUUUGCAUGAGUCAUGGCAUCAUCAUGCAUAUGCGUUCAACAAACUUUUUGAUCUGCAAAAUUGCAUACCAUUUGUUUUCAUGUUUGCUCAUCCUUGCGUUUUCCUCUACAAAACAAAAACAAAAAAGGGGGAAGCGUGAAACUUCACACUACAUUCUUAGUUUCAUGUGUUAGGCACCACGAGCCAACCAUGUUGGGAUCAUAAACCCGUUUCACUUUAAAAAAUAAUUGAACAUGGUACCUAAUGCAUGGUUAACUAGGAAAUGGUGUUUCUUCGGGCAUCUCAAUUUCAUAAUUACAUUUUCCGUGCAUAAGCUUAAAGUAUGCCCGAGUCAUUCAUCCCUAUGAGAUGUUGUCGAAGUAUUGGCGAUCAGAAUUGCCAUUCCUUGGAUUAUAGGGUUGAACCAAGCUCAUGCUUUUUCGAAAAAAGUUCAUCAAAUCAAGUUGAAGAAUGGAAGUAACUAUCUUGCAAAAAUUGGGGCAAAAGAUGAAUCGAGUCACAUCACUGCUUCGUCUACUGCCAAACAUAUUUAGGAUUGUUGAUGUCCUUGUUACUUCCAGUUUCACCUUGACAAAGAUGUCAUAGACCAUGUGGAAAAUCUAAAUUGAUUCAACCCCAUACCCUGCACAAUACUUCAACUGUACAUCAUUCGCAUACAUCCAUGCUUUUCAUUGGUUGCAUUGCUCAUUGCAUUCUUUCCUUGAAAAAGAAAAUAAAAAUAAAUAAAUAAAUAAAAUAAAAUAAAAAUGAUCUUAAUCAUUGUUAUCAAAAAGAAAAGGACACGCUUUACGGCGCCCUUACCGAACUCGUGCUAGAGCUAGAGUAAUGGGUGAAGCAGAGGAGGUGCAAGAGAAGAUGAAGGCCGACAUGGAGGCCAUGAAAGAGCAAAUGGCCACAAUGAUGGAGGCCAUGAUGAGCAUGAAGAAGAUAAUGGAAACCAAUGCGGUUAUAGUUUCCGCUACUAGCGCUAUCGCUAAGGUGAACCCGAUGCUCCCAUCUGGCCUCAAGCAAAUGAAUCAUCCAACCUCAAAUAUGUUAGGCAAAGAUUUGGGAAGUACGGACGACCCCAUGAUGUGCAAAUUCAAAACAAGCACGCCUUCCCAUCAUAUGGCUUGCCUCCCGACUAUACACCACCCAAUGUGGCAUACACUCUCAAUGAAAAUCUCAAUAACUCCACUCCGAUACUCAUUGAGAACCAAUAACCUCAUCAGGCACAUAUCUCUCAUGGGGGAGACACAUGAAAUUCCCCACCACAAUCUAGCUGACUUCGAGCCUUGGCUCAGAUAUGCCACUGAAGGGCAAGCAGUUGGUGGUAUACCCUUUGAAAACACUUUGGAGGGCCCUCAGUUUCGCCCACAACCACAACCAUUGCGUUUUGUGGUGGGAAAAAAACCCUCAUGCUAUGGCAGAAAUGGGAAAGUUGGAUCAUCUAGAGGAAAGGCUCAGGGCCAUUGAAGGAGGUGAAGAUUAUGCCUUUGCUAACCUAAAAGAGUUGUUCCUAGCACCCAAUAUCAUCACCCCUCCCAAGUUCAAGGUGCUGGACCUUGACAAGUACAAGGGGACUACUUGUCCCAAGAACCAUCUAAAGAUGUAUUGUCAGAAGAUGGGGGAAUACGCAAAAGAUGAGGAAUUGCUAAUACAUUCCUUCCAAGAAAGUCUUACUGGGGUAGCUGUUACCUGGUACACUAACUUGGAAUCUUCCCGAGUCCAUUCUUGGAAGGACCUAAUGGUUGCCUUUGUUAGGCAGUAUCAGUACAAUUUUGAUAUGGUUCCGGAUAGGAUGCAACUACAGAACAUUUGCAAAAAAGGGGGACGGAUCUUUCAAAGAACACGCCCAAAAGGUGGAGGGAUCUGGCGGCCCAGGUGGUACCCCCAAUGAUGGAAAGGGAGACGAUAAUCGUGAUGGUAGACACAUUAUCGGUACUCUACUAUGAAAAGAUGGUGGGCUGCGCACCCUCAAAGCUUUGCAGAUUUGGUCUUUGCCAGUGAAGGGAUCACUGUGGGUCCGAAAAAAGGCAAAUUUGAUCAUCCUACUAGGACGACUGAGAAAACUGGGGCAAAUAAAGAGGGUGAGAAAGAGGGAGAAACCCAUGCUGUGACUGCCAUUCCUAUACGGCCAAGUUUCCCACCAACCCAACAAUGUCAUUACUCAGCCAAUAACAAACCUCCUUACCCACCACCCAGUUAUCCACAAAGGCCAUCCCUAAAUCUACCACAAAGUCUGUCUACCGCACUUCCAAUGACGAACACCACCUUUAGCACAAACCAAAAACACCAACCAAGAAGUGAAUUUUGCAGCGAGAAAGCCUGUAGAAUUCACCCCAAUUCCAGUGUCCUAUGCUGACUUGCUCCCAUAUCUACUUGAUAAUUCAAUGGUAGCCAUAACCCUAGCCAAGGUUCAUCAACCUCCAUUUCUCUGAGAAUACGACUCAAACGCAACGUGUGCUUGUCAUGGAGAAACCCCGGGGCGUUCCAUUGAGCAUGGUAGGGCUCUGAAGCGUAAGGUGCAAGGUCUAAUUGAUGCGGGCUGGCUGAAAUUUGAGGAGAAUUGCGUGUAAAUCCCGACAUUGACAAGAGAUGCCACACAUGGGGCAAUUUUGAAAGCUGUUGUUAGGUGUCCCUAAUGACUCAUCAGGGUUUCCAAGUUUAUGCCAUUAUUGUAAACCACAGCUACAAUGUUAAAUGAAAUGGAUAAAGUUGAUAUCUUUGUCCCUCAUCCUCUCACAAACGCAUGUUUGCUUAUUCAACUUUCACCGGAAUGUGGGUGUAAGCCAUUGGUCUGUUUGCUCAAGCAACCUGCGCUCCUGAGUGUUGACUUCCAAGACCGUUCAAUCAGAGAUUACUCAUCUUGCACGAUGGUGGGGGUGCCGUAAAACAACGAGCAAAGUUCAAAACAAAUAAGUUUCAAAAUAAAAAAUAAGUUUCAAAAUAAAAAAUAAAAAGGCAUUUGAUUGACUGUGUUUUCAAGUAAAAAUAUAGACGUUCAUGUGACCUCAUUUUGUCUUUUUAGAGAGAAGUGAGUUAUCAAGAAUAGGAUGUUGGACAAAUGGCCUCAGUUACCUUGAGAAGAAGAGGGGAUUGAAUUAAGAUACGAAUAUUAUUCCCCAAUUAAACUUUCACUCUCUCUUUUCGGAUUAACAAUGCACAUAGGGACAACCCUUCCCUUGUGUUCAAGAAUCCUCUACUACAAGAGACCCAUGGUCUCUUAAUCCCUUUUCAGAAAUAAGAAGAAGAAAUCUCUCUUAAAAGGGAUAGAUUGUAAAAUGAAGAUCAAUCAAAAUUCCUUAUUGAAUAAGCAAGUGGUUGACCAAGGAAUCUUUUUGAGAGGAUAAGACAUUUCAGUUCAGAAAAACUCUUAAUCUUUCGAGAGGAUAAAACUGUUUGGGCAAUGAAAACUCUCUUUAAAACAUUUGAAUGGCCGUUUAUAAAACAUUUGAAUAGAUAUGUCUCUUGGAAAUUAUUUUCUGAAAAUCCCCUCUGGUAAUCAAUUACAAGACUUAUGUAAUCGAUUACAGGUUUUAAAAAUUUGAAUUAAAACAUUUUCAACUAAUGGUAAUCGAUUACCAGAGAGCAAAUCUCAAUUUGAAAUGAUAGAAUUCUUUGGUCAAACCUUUUGCUUCUUCAAUUUGGAAACUUCUUCCUAAGAUUCUAGAGAUCAACUUGAUCAUAUAUCUUGAUUUUCUUGGAUUCUUGUCUUGAAUAAACUUGGAAGCACUUGAUCCUUUGGCAUCAUCAAAACAUCAAAACAUCUUGCUUCUACAUAGGAGUCAUUAGACUUAAUCCAUCAACUGAAAGAUCCUUCAACUAUUUCUCGUCCUUGGAAAAAUUCUUUUUGCAAGAAUCAACUGCUUCUUUCAUUCUUCCUCACUACGAGGCUAUGAAAACAAGACAAUGAUGGUUACCUCAUAGCCCUACACUGGGGCAAUGAAAGGCACCAUGCAUAAACCUCAAGUGAACCUAGGGGCAGAUUAGAAGUUCUCACCCAAUAGGUUCCCUCCUACAAGGUCAUGACGAAAGACAACGAUUGGUACCUCAAAGCCUUACACUGGGGCAAUGAGGGGCAUCGUGCAUGAGCCUCAAGUGAACAUAGGGGCAGAUCAAAAGUUCUCACCUGUCGAUGUUUUUAAACAAGAAAAAGAAAAGGGGGGACAAACCCUAGGAUUUCAAUAGAUUGAUUAAACGUCAAACAACUCUAUUGCCAUCACUCCAAAAUGGUCAAGUGACUAAAUCAAACAAAACAUACACUUUGAGGGGGUUCCCGGAGAGAUUUGCAAAAGAUAGGAUAAGGUUGCAUGAAUUAUCACCUCUUUCAAAAGGACAGUCAAUCUGUGUUUUCCAAAAAAAAAAAAAUUAAACAAAAAUCAAAAUCACAAAACAAGGAAAGAAUGACAUGAGCAUUGUACAAACUUUCCAUUUCAUUGCAUUAUUUCAUAUGAAGUCCGCAUUUACCAAAUUUCACGACAAAGGUUGCAUGCAUCUGCAUCCCUAAAAAUCAUGUUAACUACAUAGAUUCCCUACAUCUAAAUGUCCAAAUCUUUUGAAUUUAGGAUGAUCGGCUCUCUCGAUGAGUCGAUCCCUUGCUUUCUCAUAAGGAUGGACCCUUGGGUACUAGUACCCUCGUCUCCAGAGGACUAUACGUCCUCGCCUUGAGAGGACUACACGUCCUCACCAUCAGAGGGCUGCACGCCCUCACCUCCAGAGGACUAUAAGUCCUCGCCUUGAGAGGGCUACACGCCCUCAUCUUGGGUACUAGUUACCCUCACCGUUGAGAGGACUACACGUCCUCGCCUUGAGAGGACUACACGUCCUCGCCUUGAGAGGACUACACGUCCUCACCAUCAGAGGGCUGCACGCCCUCACCUCUAAAGGACUACAUGUCCUCGCCUUGAGAGGGCUACACACCCUCACCUUGGGUACUAGUUACCCUCACCGCUGAGAGGACUACACGCCCUCGCCUUGAGAGGACUACGCGUCCUCACCAUUAGAGGGCUGCACGCCCUCACCAUCAGAGGACUACACGUCCUCGCCUUGAGAGGGCUACACGCCCUCACCUUGGGUACUAGUUACCCUCACCGUCAGAGGACUACACGUCCUCGCCUUGAGAGGACUACACGUCCUCACCACCAGAGGGCUGCACGCCCUCACCUCCAGAGGACUAUAAGUCCUCGCCUUGAGAGGGCUACACGCCCUCACCUUGGGUACUAGUUACCUUCACCUUCAGAGGACUACACGUCCUCGCCUUCAAAGGGUCAUGUACCUUCAACUUCAGAGGACUACACGUCCUCGCCGUCAAAGGGUCAUGUGCCUUCACCUUUGUAGGGCUACACGCCCUCACCUUCAGAGGACUACACGUCCUCACCUUUAGAGGACUACACGUCCUCGCCAUCAGAGGACUACAUGUUCCCGAUUUUCAAAGGGGGGGCAUGCCCUCACCUUUAGAGGAUUGCACGUCCUUGCCAUCAUAGGACUACACUCCCUCGCCUUCGAAAGGCGACACGUCCUGAACUUCAGAGGGCUACACGCCCUCGCCUUUAGAGGACUACGCGUCCUCACUUUCAGUGGGCUCCAUAUCCACACCUUAAGAUAAUUUAAGGUCCUCUGUCCUUAAAUGCUUAACCGAGACUUGCACUCCCGGUUAAGGGACCAGUAGUUUCCUUUUAACGGUUCCUGGGCCACCCCCUGAUAUUGGAGGAGGGCCAACUUGCUAGCACAACCAGAGAGGGAGGCUAUCACACAACUACUAUGCAUACUGGGGCAAGAUUUCACCCGUGCCGCUGCAAAGAGAAGAGUGCGGACCAUGCGCACCAACAUGACCACUCUUACACAAAUAUAGAUGACAUUGCUACUUAGCAACAUUCUGCCCAGCGACCGCAAUGCCAAUCUCCCCCUGCGGAAGUAUCAGUUGGUCUGUGUCGUCCCGACAUGGGUAAGUAUGCAUAUGGUUCAACUGAUUUCUGAUACCAUCUAUUGUUUGCAGGGAUCGCACCCACAAGACACCCAGUGGACCCAGAAAAGUCCAACAGGGCCCUGGGGUUUCCAGCUCUGGUUACGGGCCUCUAUCAGUCCUACAGGGUGCCCGUACCCCCCUGGCAAGGUUAUGUCAUCAUAGGUAAGUAUGCACAUCGCUCAACUGAUUUCUGAUUUCAUCAAUUGUUUGCAGGGAUCGCACCUGCAAGACACCCAGUGGACCCGAAGAAGUCCAACAGAGUCUUGGAGUUGUCAAGCUCUAAUUACGGGUCUCUGUCAGUUCUACAGAGUACCUGUAACCUCCAGCAAGGGCAUCAGGCCCCCUACUGAUCGAGCUUUCAUCAAGAAGUACUGCGUCCCUAGGCAGGCGCAGGGCGAAACACCACAGCAGCAUUAGGAUGGUCGGUAGCGGGCAAUAGACACACCGCCACCACCUCUAGAGUUAACCUCAGCUCAUCCGCAAAAAGGUUAGAGUGUUGCCUACGACACAUGGCCGACCAGUAGGCGACCAAGUCCAAAGCCAAAGGUAAGCAAAGUACUAGGUCAGUGACCGACAAGUCAUAAGGCGUCCAGCUAAAGACGUUAAAGAAGCGCUACUAGGAGGCAACCUAGUACCUUUUGAAUCUAUGCUUGUUAUUUGAUCACUUUUUAUAGUAGGAUGCACCUAGUUGCUCAUGAUCCUGGGGAUUUAAAUAAAACAAGCGCAAGCUCAGAAGGUAGUCAUACCUCACAAAAUAUAUAUAUGUAUGUUUAGGUAGUGAAAAUACCUUAGAUAUGCAUGUAUGUAAACAAAAAAAAAAAUACUUCACAAAAUAUAUAUAUGUAUGUUUAGGUAGAGAGAUACCUUAGAUGUGCGUGUAUGUAAACAAAAAAAUACCUCACAAAACAUAUAUAUGUAUGUUUAGGUAGAGAGAUACCUUAGAUGUGCGUGUAUGUAAACAAAAAAAUACCUCACAAAACAUAUAUAUGUAUGUUUAGGUGGCAAGAUACCUUGGAUAUGCAUGUAUAUAGCAAAAAUACCUCACAAAAAUAUGCACAUGUUUAGGUAGCAAAAUACCUCAUGAAAAAAAAAGAAGAAAAAAAAACAAACAAGAAAAAGAAAUAAACAAAUGAUAAUGAUAAAAAAAAAAGAAGGAGAAAAAAGAAAAAAAUAAGUUAUCUAGCUAAAAAACCAACAUGCUUUUGAAAGAGAUCACUUCCAACUUUUCUUUGAAAAAAUUCGCUGAUCAUAGCUAGUUUUUUUUUUUUAAAAAAAAAAAAAAAAAUGUGUAUACACCUGAAGGGUGAAUGCUGUGAAAUUUCCCCGGACGCCCGAAAUGGACCCGGAUGAAUGCACAAAUUGAUAAAAGAACAUAUUUUGGAAACAUUGGGUUGACUAAAAUAGAGGAAAUGAAUCCUGAGCCCUAGCAUCACAUGACCAUAAAAAUUUGACACUUGAGUGUCCGCAUAGGUGCAUGCAUGACCAGUUUUGCAUAAAGUUUCCAAAUCAUCAUUUUUGCAUUUGUGUCAUAGAAAUAAUGUGGGGCACCCCUUUUAUCCUUGAGCCAAACCAAACCCUGACAUGUAUCAUGUCUAGCCAUUCUACAAACCUUGAGCCAAAAUCAUGACUCACUAUAAUCCUUACCCUCGGAAGCAAAAAAGGAAAGAAGGAAAAUUCCCAAUCAAAGAGUGGGAGAAAGCAAAAAGAAAAGAAAGGAAAUUCCCAAUCAAAGAGUGGGAGAAAGCAAAAAGAAAAGAAAGAAAAUUCCCAACCAAAGAAUGGGAGAAAGUAAAGAAAGAAAAGAAGAAAGCUCCUGGUCAAAGAAACCAGAAGAAAUGUGCAGAGAGGUCUUUGGACCGGACAAUAUCUGAACAAUACAGAAUUGUCGCCAAAUGAACAAAAAAGAAGGAAAGGAAACCACGACCUAAAAUGGUCUUCUCCCUUUGAUUACCAACCAAAAUCCCGUGCGCUAGCGACUUUUUUUUCUCGCCCCGCACUAAACAAAAACAGAAAAAGAAAAAAGCCAGAAAAAUCAAAAGCCGAAAACACACAAAAGCCGAAAGAAGAAACCACCAAAAGAACCCAUUCCCAAGGGAAGCCCUAUUGAUCCAUGAUCACGCGUGUAAUUUUUUAUUUGAUAGGAAAUAAUUUGCAAAGUCAAGUCAUGACAUAUCUAUGGUUCGGAAUUAAGAUGAAACACUUACCUGUGCGAGAUUGAUACACUUUGAGUGGAUUUCUUCUAUUUUUGUCGAACCCAGUGUUUCCUCUAAAUGGUCAAUUAGAAACGAAAUGCUAACAUCCAAAAUCUCAUUUAUGGUUAUGGGAGAUUUCAUCAGCAGACUCUCCUUCCCCGGUAGACGCAUUGUUUUUCACUCAAAAAAGCAUAUGCUGCUCUAAAUCAGUUGGAAUAUUUGUCUCUUUUCUAAAGCAUGUUUGCAUUUUAGUGGAGAAAACACCGAGACUUUUUCAAGUCUCACAAGUUACCCAGAACUACGUAGGUCUGAGUUCCUCAUUGGAGGAUACGUAGGAGCAAGAGCCUCGCUUUUGUCGACCACACUGCCUUUUGUUGCCAUGACUCAAGAGCUGGUAGCCCGCGGAGACACCUUACGGUUAUCCGCACCUCGUCAUUCAGUCACCCCAAGUGUGAUUGACGAGCAGAGGCCAAUAUGGUCAUCUGCGCCCUUUCCGGAGAUGUCAGCAUUUUCCGAUGGAGACUUUUCAAGUCUCACCGAUUAUCCAGAACUACGUAGGUCUGAGUUCCUCAUUGGAGGAUACGUAGGAGCAAGAGCCUUGCUUUUGUCGGCCGCCCCAUAAUCUUUGUCAUACUGACCCUGAGGUCAUGUGACGUGCACCCUUGUAUCAUCCAGAGGCGGCGGGCCCGAUGAUACGCGGAGAUACCUUAUGGUUAUUCGCACCCUUUUGUCAUCCAGAGGCGGCGGGCCCGAUGACAAGCAGAGACCAAGUUUGGUCAUUCUGCACCCUUGUAUCAUCCAGAGGCGGCGGGCCCGAUGAUACGCGGAGAUACCUUAUGGUUAUUCGCACCCUUUUGUCAUCCAGAGGCGGCGGGCCCGAUGACAAGCAGAGACCAAGUUUGGUCAUUCUGCACCCUUGUAUCAUCCAGAGGCGGCGGGCCCGAUGAUACGCGAAGAUACCUUACGGUUAUUCGCACCCUUUUGUCAUCCAGAGGCGGCGGGCCCGAUGACAAGCAGAGACCAAGUUUGGUCAUUCUGCACCCUUGUAUCAUCCAGAGGCGGCGGGCCCGAUGAUACGCGGAAAUACCCGAGUGGUUAUCCGUAUAAACAUUCUUUUGCUAUCUGUAAGACAGAACGCUUGAUAGCAUGCAGAGACUGACACAGUCUUCUGCACCUUUUGUUCCUCCGGGAACAACAAGUCAUUUACAUGCGGAAAUUUCAUGGUCACCCGCGACUCUCGUCAAAUCGAGAGGAGCGAAAUUAGUGUCAUACACUGAUUUUCGUCCGGGGACCUUUGCUUGAUGACAUGCGACCAUUCUUUGGUCCUUGUGAGGUGCUUGGCAUCCAUCAUUAGGCAAUUUGUGAAAUUCUAGGAACGACAAGUCAUGGUCACCCGCGACUCUCGUCAAAUCGAGAGGAGCGAAAUUAGUGUCAUACACUGAUUUUCGUCCGGGGACCUUUGCUUGAUGACAUGCGACCAUUCUUUGGUCCUUGUGAGGUGCUUGGCACCCAUCAUUAGGCAAUUUGUGAAAUUCUGGGAACAACAAGUCAUUUGCAUGUGGAGAUUUUAUGGUCACCCGCGACUCUCGUCAAAUCGAGAGGAACGAAAUUAGUGUCUUAUCUUUACUUUCCUUUUAUCUCCAAUAAAAGACAAGUAAAGAGGGGCAACUGUCAUACCCUAAUUUCGUCCGGGGACCUUUGCUUGAUGACAUGCGACCUUUCUUUGGUCCUUGUGAGGUGCUUGGUACCCAUCAUUAGGCAAUUUGUGAAAUUCCAGGACAUGCCGGAAAACCAAAAAAAUAUUGAUGCACAAUCCGUAAGUUUCCGUGACACACCGGAAAUCAAAUGGAAGCAUCGUUGCAUAAUUAAGUGAGAUUCCGUAACAUUCCGUAAGUCAAAAAGGGGAUGAUUAUGUAAUCCGCAAGGUUCCGUAACAUUACGGAAAGAAAACAAGUAUCGUUACGAAAUUCGUAAGUUUCCGUAACUUUACGAAAAAAGAAUCACCAAAAAACAGAAGAGGGGGUGUACUUAGUAAAAAUGGGGGUGCAAAUAGCACCCAGGCCCACUUGGGCCCUCUAGAAGAUUCCUCCAGAAGGCUGUUGCUUCUGGAGGAAGCAACCUGGCUCGCCUGGGCGAGCUGGGCGGCAACCACCUCCCCUAUUUUGCUAUAAAUAGGGGAGGAAGAGAAGAAGAAAAGGGUUCAGCCCCUUAGGCACUUCUCUCUCUUUCGAAUUUGCUUGGAAAAAUUGUUUCCGUGAAGAAAAUCUAAGCCGAGGCGCUUCCGAAACGUUUCCGUAACGUUUUCCGUGAAGAAUUUCACGAAGGUUUCGACCGUUCUUCGACGUUCUUCAUUCGUUCUUCAUCGUUCUUCGAUCUUCAACGGGUAAGUACCUCGAACCAAGCUUUUCGAUUCAUUCUAUGCACCCAUGGUGGUCCACAUUGUGUUUCGUGCAUUUUUAUUCUCGUUUUGUUUACUUUUUAUACCCCCUGUUGACGUGCUUAAGCCAUUUUACUUAAGUCAUUUCUCGCUUAACUUAAAAAUAAAAUCAAUUUCCACCGAACGUUUGAAUUGUAUUAUCCGUUAACUUCGGUUAAAAUGAAUUCCGACCGUUCGGUCGUGCCGUAACCACGUUGGAAAUCAAAAAGAGGUAAAAAAUAAUAUAAUAAUCAAAAAAACAUCUUUUAGUAAAAUAAAGCGGAAAAUCAAUCGGACGUUUUCUCUUUGGGAUUUCUCAUUCUUAAUCGAAUUGAUUAAUAACUAAAGUGAAACUAAGGCUAAAAUCAACUCGCCUAGUCAAGCUCGUCCACAAAAAUAGGCUUUUGAAGUUUGUCAUUUCAAUUUCUCACUAAGUAAAAAUGGAUCAUUUUUUAAGGUCCAACGCCUUAAAAAUGACCACCACUUAAGUAAAAAAGAAACACUUUGUUCCGAAAGAACUACGUAGGUCUGAGUUCCUCAUUGAGGAUACGUAGGAGCAAAAGCCCCGCUUUUGUCGACCACCCCAAGAGAUCGUUAAUGGUCCAAUGCCUUAACGUUUCUCUCCUUUCAAAAACAAGAGAUCGUUAAUGGUCCAACGCCUUAACGUUUCUCCCCUUUCAAAAUCAAAAGACCGUUUAAAGGUUCAACACCUUAAAUGACCUUUUGUUCAAUAAAAACAUAUUUUGCAAAAAAAAGGACAAAAACAACUUAACCAAACACUUUGUUCCGAAAGAACUACGUAGGUCUGAUUUUCUCAUCCCAAAUUGAGGAAUACGUAGGAGCAAAGGGAAACACCCUUGUCGACCACAAAAAAGGGAAAAAAUAUAAAAAGGGUAUAAAGGAUAUAAGAACAUAAAAGGGAACAUAAAAAUCAAAGUCAUGUUUGCACAUUCGAUUAAAGGCUGCCGUCCCUUGGGACGGACGUGUGGGGUGCUAAUACCUUCCCCGUGCGUAAAUACAACUCCCGAACCUUUCACUAAAAAGUUUGUAGAUCGCGUCUUUUCCGGUUUUUCCGACGUUUUCCUCGAAUAAACGUUGGUGGCGACUCCGCGCGUAUUCCUUUCGUGGAACACGCAUCCCGCGAGUCACGCGUCGCCCUCCCGCCGAAGGGUAGGUUGCGACAAUUCUUAUAUUUGAAAGUUUUCUUAUCGUAUUUUUCCAUUCUUCUUUUAAAGAUAGGACAAUCAAAUCUCAGGUGCCCAGGUUGAUCACAUUCAUAACAUUUUGGAACUAAGGAGGAAUCUUCUACUUUCUUCUUUAGAUUGAAGUUUGAUUUCCUUCAAUUUCCUUUGUUUCUCGGGAAUUUAUUGAAUCUCUUUACAAAGAGACUAAAAUCAUCAUCUUCUUCUUUGUUCUUUUCAUUCGAGUCUUCUUUGUCAUUUUCUUCAUGAAUAGAAGAAGAUGUGGCUUUGAGUGCAAUUCCUUUCUUCUUUUUGUCAUUCUCUUCAUGUUGAUGGGGUCUCAUAAGUUCCAUUUCAUGUUCUUGAAGUUUCCCAAAGAGAGUGGCAAGAGACAUGUUGGUCAAAUCUUUUGAUUUCGCAAUUGCAGUUACUUUUGGUUUCCAUUGCCUGCUUAAACAUCUCAACACUUUGUUAAUGAGGUCUUCAUUAGGAAAUAUUUUUCCUAAUGAUGCAAGAUGAUUAACUAUAUGUGUAAAUCUCUUUUGCAUAUCUUGUAUGGUCUCAUUUUGAUUCAUUCUAAAAAUUUCAUAUUCAUGUGUGAGAGUGUUUAUUCUAGAUCUUUUAACAUCAAUUGUGCCUUCAUGUGUUACUUGUAAUGUAUCCCACAUUUCUUUUGCAUUUUUACAGUUUGAGACUCUAAAAUACUCAUCCGUGCCUAAUGUAGAAGUAAUUAUAUUCUAGGCUUUUAAAUUAUAUUGAACCCUUCUUUCAUCUUCAUCCCAUUGUUCUCUAGGUUUUUCUAUAGUUGCAUUUUCCACUACCAUUGUAGGAAUGAAUGGACCAAUUUCAAUGGCUUCCCAUAUAUUUAAAUCUAUGGCUUCUAUAAAGAUCUGCAUACAGGUUUUCUAAUAGUAAUAACCCUUAUCAUUGAAAAUAAGAGUCCUAUUAAUGAAGUUUUUGUCGGGAAAUAGAAAGUUUGAUGAGGUUGUAACUAUUCUUGAUGUUUUUAAACUUUAUACAAGAAUCCUACUCUGAUACCACUUGUUGGACAAGUGGCCUCAAUAACUUAAGAGGAGGGGGGGGUGAAUUAAGUUUCAAAAUUUUCCCACUAACAAAUUUUAAUCCCCUUAUAAAUGACAUAUGAUAGGCUCAAAAUGCAGAAGAAGAAGCAGCAAUUUAAACGUGCAAGACAAAAUCAGUUGCAAUAAAAUAAAUGAGAUAAGGGAAGAGAGAACUUCAAACUCAAUUUAUAUUGGUUUGGCCACUUCCCGUGCCUACGUCCAGUCCUCAAGUCAUUUGAGAUUUUCCACUAUCUCUGUAAUUCCUUUACAGUCUUUGAACACACCUUGGGAUCCCUCACCCUUGUGUUCAAGAUUCUCACAAGCCAAGAGACAAACAAUCUCUUGAUCACAAUAAUGUUUUUAGAAUGUACAGAAGAAUUUCUCUUCUUUAGAGAUGAUAGUACAAGUUGAAGAUCUUAGAAGAAUACUCAAUUGAUUUGCAAGUGUUUGAACAAUGAUUUGUUUUUUUAGAGAAUAUGACACUUAGGCUCUGAUGGAAAACUUUGAAGAUUUUCAUAGAAAAGCCACAUAUUUAUAGGCCCUUAUGGCUGUUUAAAAAACCUUUUUGAAGAGAUAGGACUCUUCAGAAUAUUUUUCAAAAUUCUCUCACUGGCAAUCGAUUACAGUAUCUUGGUAAUCGAUUACACAUUUAUGUUUUUUAAGGGUCAUGACUUUUCAAAGUUAUUUUCUGAAGAUUCGUUAUUGGCAAUCGAUUACAAACAGUUGGUAAUCGAUUACAAGAUUUUAAAAUUCAAAUUCAAAAUCCUUUUUGAAAAGCUCAUUUGCAAUCUAUCUCUGGUAAUCGAUUACAGUUCUUGGUAAUCAAUUACCAGUGCAAAAACAUUUAUUUUUGAACUGAUAAAAACAUUUGAAAAGCAGUUGAUGAGGCCAAAACUUAUUAACCAAUGUGAGAUUCUUUUAACACAUAAACUAAGCCUUAUUUUUCUCUUAAUCUUUGUUUGCUUAAUCUUGAAUUCAACUUGAAGCAAUCUUGUAUGCUUUCACUUUCGCAUCAUCAAAAUUUGUAUACUCAAAAACUUGGUAUACAUAUAUUCACACUGACUAGGUGGAUGACUUUAAAGAACCUCAUGUUAGAGGGCAUUGGAACACAAUGCUCUGAUAGGAUGUAACAUUGGGGCAUUGAUUUCUAUAUUAAUUGCAUGAAGUGUUGGACGACCUUAUUUUGAGCUGAGAUGAUUUUAUUAUUUAUUUGGACACAUUCUAUUAUGAUGUUAGAAAAGUGAAUGUGAGUCUUUUGCCCUUUUAAAAUGUUUUUAUUUAAAUGUGUUUUAAAAACUUUUAAUUAAUUCCGUAUUCUUAUUUCUUUUAUUAUUAGUACAUAUAUGUGUGGGGUAGAGGGUGUUGCACUGGUUACCCUCCUUCGCGUUAGUCUUCUUUUCCUUCUAACACAUUUCUGCGAUGUAUUUCAGUUUUUUCAUUUAUCGUUCUGCGAAACUGGUUUCAUAUCUUCAUUUUCUCCUUUUAUUCUCGUUGCAGACAUUCUUUUUUAGUGUUUAUAUUGAAAUUGCACAUUUAUUUGGUUUAGCUUUUGUGAGAAGGCUAUUAGUGGCGAGAGAGAAUUUGUUCCUAGAAGAUGUUAGCGAUUCACCGAAGUCCAAACACAUGGAAUGUGCGAGUAAUGUUGUGGAUAAUUGAUGUGCCAUUAUUUUCUCCUAUUUCUUAACCCUUUUUUGCACCAUUUUAAGUACUGAUUAGUCUUAAUUGUCAAAUUAAUUAGGCAAUUUUCUUAUUUGGGCCCAUUCAGCUAAUUUGAUGUUUUUAAUCUAAUUUCAUGAAUUAAUGAAGCAUUGGGCUUGAAUCCAGAAUUGGGCUUGGACUUGAAGAGGACAGACUCUUUUAUUCUACAAAAUUAGAUCUUAUCUUAUCUAGAUAUUAUUUAGAUUUGAUCUCAUCUAGAUAUUAUUUCAUCUAGAUCUUAUCUUAUCUAGAUUUGAUUGUAUUUUAUUUAUGGGCUUGGAUUUAAAACAUAUUUGUAAGUUUUGGGGCUAGAAAACUAUAUAACAGCACCAAGGUUCUAGUUUAGCCCUCUCUUAUCUCUCUCCCUCUCUUCUCUUUCUCCUUUAUUUUCAUUUUUUGCAAUUCCAGUUCUGACUUUUUGUUUUAGCCAUAAAAUUUUGUUCUUCAAUCUAUAAUUUUGUUAUCUAUUUGAUUAAUUGAAGGCUAAGUCCCCAACGUUGUUUUCUCUUGAGGAUCAAGCAUAGUUCUCUUUGAGGUUAUAUUAUUACUGUUAAAUUUUGUUCAGUUUUUCCUCUUCACUAAUUACUCUGAAUUUUUUGCUAUUAAUUCAUGCAAGCUUAGUGCUUGAUUAAUUGUCUCUGUGCUUAAUUUACGUUCAUGCUUAAUGAUUGUUUAUGAGUAAUUGGUGUAUGUGUCGCUUAAUCACAUAAUGAAUGCCUUAUGUUAAAUUUCGCUUAGUAAUUUAAUUUAGGGUUGGAUUAAGUGGUUAAACUGAUAAAGGAUAAAUUCUCGCAACCUAGGAUAAGAGACUUGCUUGUGAAUCAAGGGGAAGCAACGUAUUUUAAUUCUGAUAUUUUCUAAUUCAAUUUUAUUCAUUGUUUAAUUUACAAAAGCAAAUAACCCCCCCCCCAAUUUGUUACUAUUUCUUACUAUCUGUUAUGAACAUUUGGUUUAUCAUUGCUCGUUGGGAAACGACCUAGGAUCACUUCCUAGUUACUGCAUUUUAAUGUUUAUUUGAUUCGGGUACGGCCUCGAUCAAAUUUGGCGCCGUUGCCGGGGAGCAGUGUCCAAAGGUUCAUAAUAGCUAGUGUCGUGUUAGUGUUUAAUUCUUGUGUUAAUGUUAGUAUUGUUUAGUACCUUGUUAUUUUGUUUAUUGUGUGUUCUGUUUUAGUUUUUUUGUUCAGGGCUUCCCCUGUUUCAGUUUUGGUGUUUUGCUAUGAAUAGUGUUUUGCGACGGAUUUAGCGACCACUUUUGUUGAACUGGAAAACAACGUAGUAGUGGAAAUCCCUUAGCGACGGAUUUUAGAGACCACCCUUUCUGAAUUAAUUUGGAUUUUUUGUUUUGGUGGCUAUAGUUGUUAUUUUUGGCUGAAUUUUUUUGUGGUCACUUCUUUUGAUCCAUAUUUUGUGGGAAAAAUAGCUGGAGCCCUUAGUUUGGUCAGAUUUGAAAGUUCCAAAAAUGUAGCAAAUUUGAUUUUUGUCAAAACUUCAAACGACCAUAACUUUUGCUCCAAUUAUCAGAAUCGCAAUUAUUAUAUAUGUAUUUGGGGUAGAAAAAAAUUUCCCAUGCCGUGGCAAGGCCGGCUAAGGUCUCCUUCUUCCAAAAAUUGAGAUUCUGUCAAAAGUUUUUUAUUUUCCAAGUAUUAUUCUCUUAUUUUUCUUAACUUAUCAUUUUUAGCUUCUAUAGUUAGACUUUGAAUUCUUGUUUGAAAUUUUUUGUGCUAUUUCUCAUCAUUUUAUAAGGUUGCUCACAAAAUUUCAAGUCAUUUGGAUAUCAUUUGAGGGUAGUUGUAGUUCAAACCUAGACUGUUACUUGCAUAAGAAGGCAACUAGUUGUGCAUGCUGAAUAUAGUGUAUGACUAGAGGCAAUUCAUCUGACUUACAACCCUUUGAUCUUGAGAUAGAUAUGACAUUUCAUAGAUUAGUUAGACAUCAUUUAAUACCUUUUGAGCAUCAUGAGCAUUCUAUUAUUAGUGAUUUUGAGCAUUAUUGUUUUAAACAUUCUGAUUUUGGACAUUCUGAGAACAUGAAACAACCUCCACCCCGUGAGAGGACUCUAAGGGAAAUGGCUGCACCUGAUUCCACCUACGAAAGCUUGUGCAUCCAAUACCCUGAUGAGGAUGUCCCAUAUGUUCUUAAAACUGGACUAAUCCAUUUGCUUCCAAAGUUUCAUGGCCUUGCAGGUGAAGACCUACAUAAGCAUCUGAAGGAAUUCCAUAUUGUCUGCUCCACCAUGAAACCCCCAGAUGUCCAGGAGUAUCACAUAUUUCUGAAGGCUUUUCCUCAUUCUUUAGAGGGAGUAGCAAGGGACUGGCUAUAUUACCUUGCUCCAAGGUCUAUCAUGAGCUGGGAUGACCUCAAGAGAGUAUUCUUAGAAAAAAUUUUCCCUGCUUCCAAGACCACGACCAUCAGAAAAGAUAUUUCAAGUAUUAGACAACUCAGUGGAGAAAGCUUAUAUGAAUACUGGGAGAGAUUUAAGAAACUAUGUGCCAGUUGCCCUCACCACCAGAUUUCUGAGCAGCUUCUCCACCAAUAUUUUUAUGAAGGACUCAGUAACAUGGAGAGAAGUAUGAUAGAUUCUGCCAGUGGUGGAGCCCUUGGAGACAUGACCCCUGCUGAAGCCAUAAAUUUAAUUGAGAAGAUGGCUUCCAACUCCCAGCAAUUCAGUGCCAGAAAUGAUGCUAUUGUCAUUAGAGGAGUGCAUGAAGUAGCCAUGAAUUCAUCUUCAUCAGGUGAGACUAAGAAGCUUGAAGGUAAACUAGAUGCCUUGGUUAACCUGGUAACCCAGCUGGCCAUGAAUAAAAAAUCUGCACCUGUCGCCAGACUCUGUGGUUUAUGCUCCUCUGCCGACCACCACACAGACCUUUGCCCUUCUGUGCAACAAUCUGAAGCAAUUGAACAACCUGAAGCUUAUGCUGCAAACAUCUACAACAGACCUCCUCAACCUCAAUAGAAAAAUCAGCCACAACAGAACACUUAUGACCUCUCCAGCAACAGGUACAACCCCGGGUAGAGGAAUCAUCCCAACCUUAGAUGGUUGAGUCCUUCACAAUAGCAACAACAACAACAGCCUUAUUUUCAUAAUGCUGCUGGCCCAAGCAGACCAUACGUUCCUCCACCAAUCCAACAACAACAAUAGCAACAGACCCAGAAACAACAAACAGUUGAGGCUCCUCCGCAACCUUCCCUUGAAGAACUUGUGAGGCAAAUAACUAUGCAAAACAUGCAGUUUCAACAAGAGACCAGAGCCUCCAUUCAGAGCUUAACAAAUCAGAUGGGACAAUUGACUACACAGUUAAAUCAACAACAGUCCCAGAAUUCUGACAGAUUACCUUCUCAAUAUGUCCAGAAUCCCAAAAAUGUGAGUGCCAUUACAUUGAGGUCGGGAAAGCAGUGUCAAGGACCUCAACCAGUAACAUCUUCCUCAUCCGCAAAUGAACCUGCCCAACUUCACCCUACUCAAGAAAAAGAUGAUGACAAAAAUUUAAAGAGUAAGUCACCUAACAAUUUCUAUGCAGGUGAAUCUAAAGAGAAGCAACAUAUCCCUCUUCCAUUCCCUCCAAGAGCAAUUUCCAACAAAAAAAUGGAAGAGACAGAGAAGGAGAUCUUGGAAACAUUUAGAAAAGUAGAAGUAAACAUACCUCUGCUAGAUGUAAUAAAGCAAAUUCCAAGAUAUGCUAAAUUCUUAAAGGAGCUGUGCACUAAUAAGCGGAAGCUUAAAGGAAGUGAAAGAAUUAGUAUGGGCAAAAAUGUCUCCGCAUUGAUUGGUAAAUCUGUUCCCCAAAUCCCUGAAAAAUGUAAAGAUCCAGGUACAUUCAACAUACCUUGUAUUAUAGGGAACAGUAAGUUUGACAAUGUCAUGCUAGAUUUAGGAGCUUCUGUUAGUGUUAUGCCUCUGUCUAUUUUUAUUUCUCUAUCUCUAGGUCCUUUGCAGUCAACUGAUGUGGUAAUUUAUUUAGCUAAUAGAAGUGUUGCCUAUCCUGCUGGUUUCAUAGAGGAUGUCUUAGUUAGAGUAGGUGAACUGAUUUUCCCUGUUGAUUUUUAUAUUUUGAAUAUGGAGGAGGGAUUUUCUAAAGGAUCAGUUCCCAUCAUUCUAGGUAGACCUUUUAUGAAAACUGCUAGAACUAAGAUAGAUGUAUAUGCAGGCACACUAUCUAUGGAGUUUGGUGAUAUAACUGUUCAUUUUAAUAUUCUUGAUGCUAUGAAACACCCAUCUGAAGAUCUUUCUGUGUUUCGUGUUGAAAUAAUUGACCAUAUUGUUGAUGAAUACAUGACUGAUCUUCAUUCUAAUCUGCAUGUUUGUCACUCUUCAUGCAUUGAAUAUGAAUUUGUACUUGAUCAUAUGUCUGAAUUUGAUGCUGAGAGUGAAUAUGAAUUUGAUAUUGAUUACAUGUCUGGUGAUGUUUUACCUCUUGAGAUUGAUUUUAUAAAGUCAGAUAAAACUAACCAUGUUUCAGGAAGUACACAUAAUUCUGACUUUCUUUAUGAGGUACAGGCUGAAAAACCAUCUUUUUCUACCAUUAUCCAGUCGACCACACCAGAAUUGAAGCCUCUACCAUCAAAUUUAAAAUAUGCUUACUUGGAUGAUAGCAAAAGUUUUCCAGUAAUUAUAUCUGCCUCCCUUGCUGAUGAGCAAGAGAAGAAGUUGUUAUCAGUUCUCAAGAAGCAUAAGAAGGCUAUAGGCUGGACCCUGGCGGACAUUCCUGGUAUUAGCCCAUCCAUAUGUAUGCAUUGAAUAAAUUUAGAGGAUGGGGCUAAACCAGUAAGACAACCACAGAGAAGACUUAACCCGGUGAUUCUUGAUGUAGUGAAGAAGAAGGUAACCAAGCUUUUGCAAGCUGGAAUCAUUUAUCCUAUCUUCGACAGCCAAUGGGUGAGUCCCGUCCAGGUAGUCCUGAAGAAAACCGGCCUCAUCGUGAUAAAAAAUGAGAAGGAGGAGUUGAUUCCUACUAGGGUGCAGAACAAUUAGAGAGUCUGCAUCGACUAUAGGAGGCUGAACCAGGUUACCAAAAAGGACCAUUUUCCCCUGCCAUUCAUUGACCAGAUGCUUGAACGCCCGGCAGGUAAAUCUCACUACUGUUUCCUUGUUGGUUUUUCUGGUUAUAUGCAAAUCACUAUUGCUCCUGAGGAUCAGGAAAAGACCACAUUCACCUGCCCCUUCGGCACUUUUGCCUAUAGGAGGAUGCCUUUCGGCCUGUGCAAUGCCCCUGGUACCUUCCAGCGGUACAUGAUUAGUAUUUUUAGUGAUUUUUUAGAAAAUUGCAUAGAGGUGUUUAUGGAUGAUUUCACUGUAUAUGGAUCCUCUUUUGAUAUUUGUUUGGAUAGUCUGGAAAAGGUUUUGAAUAGAUGCAUUGAAACUAACCUUGUUCUAAAUUUUGAAAAAUGUCAUUUUAUGGUUGAGCAAUGUAUAGUUUAAGGCCACAUUAUUUCCAAUAAGGGCAUUGAAGUAGAUCCUGCAAAAAUUUCUAUUAUUUAACAAUUGCCUUACCCCUCUUGCGUGCGAGAGGUGCGAUCUUUUCUUGGUCAUGUAGGAUUCUACAGGCGCUUUAUAAGAGAUUUUAGCAAGGCACCUGAUUGGACAACCCCAUUUGAGCUAAUGUGUGAUGCAUCCAAUUACACAUUGGGGGUUGUCCUUGCUCAAAAUAUCUCCUUACUUCAGCUUACUUCUUUUCCACCAAGACUUAGGGAGUUUUUCUUUUCCUAUCUCCUUCAUUACUUUUAUUACAUUUGUCCGAUUCUAUUUGAUGGUUUAAUUGCUUUUAAUCUUUUAAUUGUGCUACAUUGAGGACAAUGUGUUGUUUAAGUAUGGAGGGGGGAGUGUUCUUUGGUUUUGGUUUUGCUAGUUUUGUUAGUUUUGUUGGGUUUCUAGUUUAAUAUUUGUUGGAUCAAGUGGCCUCAGAAUAAUUAAGAAGGGGGGUUGAAUUAAUUAUUCCUAAACCUUUACUAAUUAAAAAUUUACUCUUCUAAGGCUUUUACUUAUGUUGUUAAGAGAAUAAGGAGUAGAAGAGAAACUUAACCAAAAGUAAAAAUGGAAAUUAAAAUGCACAGUGGAAAGUAAAAAGUAGGGAAGAAGGAGACAAACACACAAGAGUUUUUAUAUUGGUUCGGCAACAACCCGUGCCUACAUCCAGUCCCUAAGCGACCUGCGGUCCUUGAGAUUUCUUUCAACAUUGUAAAAAUCCUUUUACAAGCAAAGAUCCACAAGGGAUGUACCCUCCCUUGUUCUCUUUGAACCUAGUGGAUGUACCCUCCACUAGAACUGAUCCACAAGAGAUGUACCCUCUCUUGCUCUCAGUCAAACCCAAGUAGAUGUACCCUCUACUUGUACCACAAAGGAUGUACCCUCCAAUGUGAUAAGACAAAGAUCUUAGGCGGUUAAACCUUUGAUACUUUGUGAAUGGGGAUACAAAAGAAUUCUCAGGCGGUUAGUCCUUUAAACACUUUUGUAUAAGGGAAAGGCAAGAAUCAAAAGAAUUCUCAGACUAUGUCGUUUUGAAUUCUUUGACAAGGGAGAAGGGAGACAUAAAAUAAUUCAGGCGGUUAGUCCUUUGUUCUUUUGGAAAAGGGAGAAGAGAGACACAAAAAGAAUUCAGGCGGUUAGUCCUUGGCGAAUUCUUUUUGGCAAAGGGAAAAGAGAUGAAAAGAAUGAAUAGCACAAGUUUUCAAGGUUUAGAAAACCAAAAAACUUUGGAAAGCUUUUGGCACAAAGAAGAAGAAGAAGUUCAAAGAGAUUCAAGACUUGUAAAGGAUUGUAAUAGAUUGAUUGGAUUGAUAGAAAGAUUGAUUUUCAAAUGCAAAACAAAGCCUUUCUUUUAUAGACUCUUUAUGUCUGGUCAAGAGAACCAUUUAGAAGAGUUAUGACUUUUAGAAAAACUUAAAACCAAUUUGAAAAAGUCAAAAAACAUUUGAAGAGUUACAUCUUUUGAUUUACUCAGAAACAAUGACUAGUAAUCGAUUACCAAAUCAGUGUAAUCGAUUACACAAAGCUUUUAUGUGAAAGGAUGUGACUCUUCACAUUUGAAUUUGAAUUUCAAUGUUCAAAGGCACUGGUAAUCGAUUACCAAAACAUUGUAAUCGAUUACAGCUUUUUGAAAUCAAUUGGAACGUUGUAAAUUCAGUUGAGAACUUUUUCAAAUCCAUUUUGCUACUGGUAAUCGAUUACAAUAAUCUGGUAAUCGAUUACCAGAGAGUAAAAACUCUUUGGUAAACAUGUUUUGAGAAAAAUCCAUGUGCUGCUCAAUUUUUGAAAAAACCUUUUCGUACUUAUCUUGAUUAAGUCUUCUCUUGAUUCUUGAAUCUUGAGUAUUGAAUCUUGAUCUUGAUUCUUGGAAGCUUGAUCCUUGAAUCAUGAUUCUUGAUCCUUGAAAUCAACUUUCCUCUUUAAUCUUGAAGUGUUCUUCAACUUUCCUCUUGAAUCUUGAACUCAUUCUUUGAUUGACCUUUGAGCUUUUUGUCAUCACCUUUGUCAUCAUCUUUGUUAUCAUCAAAACAUCUUUGAACCAAUCUUGAUUCAUCAUGAAGCUUUGCUUCUACAAUAUUUUAGGUCAAUUCUGUUUGCAUGUACAACUUUGCAUAUUUUUCUUUGAAUUAUAGGAUAUGUUCAAGAAAUGGGUAAUUGUUCUGAAAAUAAAAGUCUCUUGACAUUUUGUGAUUUGAAAUCCUUGUUUUUCCUCUACAUGUCAUGAUAGUUUUGAAAGCUCAAUUUAAAAGUGAUAAGUUUACCUUUGUGAGAAUUUGAGCCAUCCAUCAUCAUAAUCUUUUGGUGUGUUUUGACCCAUUGAUUGCUUGCACAAUAGCCUUGGCUUGAUUCUUGUUGAUACUUCCUAAUUCACAUGCAUAUUUGGAAAUGAUUUAGGCAAUUUUGUUCUUAUAAACUUCUAGCCAAAUGGACUUACCUUGAAUUAAUUUUUGGCCAUGCUUAAUGUUUCAUUUUGGCCAUGCUUGAUGUAUCUGUAUAUUGCCUAGUUCUUGCUUUAAUCUUCAAAUUCAAUCUAAAAAAAAUGAAAAAAAAAAUUAAAUUGCUGUAAAUUCUACAAAUUCGUACUGUUCAAAAAAAAAAAAGAAGAAAAGAAGUGAAGUUGAAUAAAUGAGGUCUUGUUAUGAGGACUCGAUUUGGGAGCCUUGGUUGAUUUUGUUGAUAUUAGAGGGUUUGGGUUUACUACUUGUGCUUAAUUUCCACUUAUUCCCCAUUGUUCCUCUAUUCCUUUGGGAUUUAGCUACUUAUUCCAUAUUUUUCUUCCCUACCUUGUCCUUGGCCCCAUUACAACCUUUAAAGACCUUUUGAUCCUUAUGUGCAUGUGUUUGUCAAGUUGUUUGUCAAUUUUAGAAUUUUGCCAAGUCUAUGUGGUGUUUGUUUUCAUGGGUGCUUCGAGAGUAAACAGUAGCCUAGACACUUGAGAGAUAGAGUGUAUAUCUUGUGAGGCUUAAUCAUUUUUCAUUCUUGAGUUGAUUAACUAUUUUGCCACGAUUGGGUUGCUCGGAUGAUUUUCACGAAUGUCUUGACUCUUUGGAUAUCUUCAUGUUAGAUGUUACCCAUUCCUUGAUGUUCAUUGAGAAAUAUGUAAAUGUUUUUGUUUGUUCCUCUUUGAUAUCCUUAGAUUUUGUUCUUUAUUUCAUUUUGCCUAGGAGUGCAAAAGGCUAAGUAUGGGGGGUUUUGAUGUGCCAUUAUUUUCUCCUAUUUCUUAAUCCUUUUUUGCACCAUUUUAAGUACUGAUUAGUCUUAAUUGUCAAAUUAAUAAGGCAGUUUUAUUAUUUGGGCCCAUUCAGCUAAUUUGAUGUUUUUAAUCUAAUUUCAUGAAUUAAUGAAGCAUUGGACUUGAAUCCAAAAUUGGGCUUAGACUUGAAGAGGGCAGACUAUUUUAUUCUACAAAAUUAGAUCUUAUCUUAUCUUAUCUUAUCUUAACUAGAUAUUAUUUAGAUUUGAUCUCAUCUAGAAAUUAUUUCAUCUAGAUCUUAUCUUAUCUUAUCUAGAUUUGAUUGUAUUUUAUUUAUGGUCUUGGAUUUAAAACAGAUUUGUAAGCUUUGGGGCUGGAAAACUAUAUAACAACACCAAGGUUCUAGUUUAGCCCUCUCUUCUCUCUCUCUCCCUCUCUUCUUUUUCUUCUUUAUUUUCGUUUUUUGCAAUUCCAAUUCUGACUUUUUGUUUUAGCAAUAAAAUUUCGUUCUUCAAUCUAUAAUUUCGUUCUCUAUUUGAUUAAUGGAAGGCUAAGUCCCCAGCGUUGUUUUCUCUUGAGGAUCAAGCACAGUUCUCUUUGAGGUUCUAUUAUUACUGUUAAAUUUUGUUCAGUUUUUCCUCUUCACUAAUUACUCUGAAUUUGUUGCUAUUAAUUCAUGCAUGCUUAGUGCUUGAUUAAUUGUCUCUACGCUUAAUUUACGUUCAUGCUUAAUGAUCGUUUAUGAGUAAUUGGUGUAUGUGUUGCUUAAUCAUAUAAUGAAUGCCUUAUGUUAAAUUUCGCUUAGUAAUUUAAUUUAGGGUUGGAUUAAGUGGUUAAACUGAUAAAGGAUAAAUUCUCGCAACAUAGGAUAAGAGACUUGCUUGUGAAUCAAGGGGAAGCAACGUAUUUUAAUUCUGAUAUUUUCUAAUUCAAUUUUACUCGCUGUUUAAUUUACAAAAGCAAACAACCCCCCCCCCCCCAAUUUGUUACUAUUUCCUACUAUCUGUUAUGAACAUUUGGUUUAUCAUUGCUCGUUGGGAAACGACCUAGGAUCACUUCCUAGUUACUGCAUUUUAAUGUUCAUUUGAUUCGGGUACGACCUCGAUCAAUGAUGAAAAAUCUAGUGCUCCAUUAGGGGUUGGAUUUUCAGACACGACUUUUGAGAAUUCUCGCGCUUAAAGGUAAUGUUUUUCAUUUUGCUCCAUAUCGAGUACUUUAAAAUCUAUAUUUUAGUAUUAAACUUAGUAUUUGUUUGGCAAAAGACAAGUCAGUUAGCGGUGUGUAAUCCAUUAUCCUCAUGGGCAUUUACUAGAUAGCGUAAUAUUGCAUAUAGUGGCAAGCAGAACCUCAUAUGCAAAUGCUCAUAGCAGAAGUCGUGCUUAAAAUAGCCUUGGAAAUGGUCUACAUGAAGUAACAUAAUCUAAGUCCCUCUUUUCCUCUGAAUCUUGAUUAGUUAAAAAUGAAUAAUCAAGUACUUACAUAAAUUGACUAAAUUUACAUGCAAUAUAUUAAUGCAAUUGGUGUAGUGUAGAUUCCUUUAGUGGUAUUAAUUUUUUAAUGUUGUUGGAAUCAUGAUUCAUUAGGCUUAGACUUUGGUGUAAGUAUCAUCUGCAUGGCAUGCAUUUAACUUGUAACAUUGUAAUUGCACUGAUCCAUUUUGACAAGAGUAUUGUCAAAUCUAUCUUUUUCUAUGCUUAAUUAAUGGUGGCUUGUUAGGUAUCAAAUUGGGUGGCUACUCUACAUUAGUCCAUGUUUUGAAAGACAUAUUAUCGUAUCAUUUUUAGUGUAAUCUGAAUAUGACUUCUUUUACUCACAAGGCAAGUAAUUAAGAAUUGACACGUUCAAUGGUUUAUAAAAUGCAAAAUAUAUUAUUUUACUUUCACCAUGAAAUUAUUUAUAUCUCCAUUUGUCAAUGUGAUCCUUAUUUUUCACUGCAAAAAGCAUCAUGUAGUGACGUAUUGUGUUCUUACAUCAAUCAAAUAAAAUAAUACUAAUUAAGCUACAAUUGAUGAAACUUAUGAGUUGACCCUACCAUUAUCAUUUAUAAUAUGUAUAAUAUUAUAGUAACCUAGCAUGCAUGUUUUAUAAUAAUAAAAAUAGUUUUGUGAAAUGUAGUAGCAAUUCUUUAGCCAUCACUAUCAGUACUAGCAUUUAUCUAAUGUCAACAUAUAGACUUUAUAUUAGCACUUGAAGCUUUUUGCUAUCUCUUCAUUUUGUUAUAUGUAGGUGUUAGGGGAAAAGAAUAUGAUAUAUAUAUAUAUAUAUAUAUAUAUAUAUAUAUAUAUAUAUAUAUAUAUAUAUAUAUAUUGCCUAAUUUGACCUAAGGACUAAGAGAGAAAGGUAUUUUGCAAAAAUAAAAUUGAUGCAAUUCUACCUCCAAGGGCAUUGGAUAGAAGAUUCCAAGACUAUUGGGCCAAAGAUGCAAGAGAAGGCCCUAGGGUUCUCAUAGGCUUUAGGAUAGAUUUUGGGUCCAUGGGCUCAGUAUGAGCCCAUUUAUCUUCGUACAUAUUAGAUUAGGAUUUCAUUAUUUUUGGGCCUUGUAUUUAGGGCUCCAUAAUGUAGGUAGGGUAUCCUAUUAAUGUAGGAUUUUUCAGCCCUUGUAAUUUAGGGCACCUAGACUAGUUUUUGUACUAUGGGUAGUUUUGUAAUUUCAUAUGCAUUAAGUGAAUAUUUGAUGUGUGUGUUGGGAAAUAAAUUUAAUUGAAUUUGGAGAAGCCCAUACAAUUAAAUUUUAGAGGGGGAGGUGAACAUUUGCUUGCUACACCUCAUUGUCACAUCAUAUAGUAACACUUUGUGCAUGUCUUUCAUGCUUUAUAUGCCUCAUGACACCUAAGCACACUUAGUGGAAAAUCUUUGACUUGAUCUUGGAUUAAUGGGUUGAACCAUAGUUAAAAUUCACUAAUCAUAAUUAGUGAAAUUUUGGCUCCAAAGUUUGGCUCCACAAAUUCAAUUUCAAAUUCAAGUGAAAUUUGAAUAGAAAUUCAAAUUUCCUUCCAAUUUUGUGACACUUAGGCUAUAAAUAGAAGUUAUAUGUGUGCAUUUUUCAACUUUGAUAAUUUGAGAAUUACAUUUCAAAGUUGAGACCUCAUUUGAGACACAAAAUUUCGUGCUCUUUCUCUCCCUCUCCCUCCACUCAUCUUCUCUUACCUUCAAGCUCUUAUCCAUGGCUUCCUACGGUGGUAAGCUUGUUCUUGACUCAUCUUCUCGUUGAAGUGGUGUCUCCAAUCAUCUUUCUUCCUUCUCCAUUCUGUUGCCAUUCAUCUUCAAGAAGCAAAGGAAUCCAUUGAUGAAGAAGAUCCAAGGCCUACAAGUUCCACAUGGAGCUACAUCAUGUGGUAUCAAGAGCAUCUUCAUCUAGGUGAUGUUCUUUUGCUUCCUCUAUCUUUUUGGUCGGUCAAUUCACUUUAACUCCUUGUUCUUCAUCUUAUUCUCCAUGUAUAUCCUCCAUUUUCUUGUGGUUUGGUUCUGUUCAGAGUAGAUUCAAAAAAAUAAAUCGAUUAAAUCUUAUAUCUAUACUUGUUCUUGCAUUUCUAUGGUUCAAAUUUUACAAAUCUACUCUUGAAUCAUGUUUUUGUGUUUAUUAUAGGUUCUAUCAUUUUUUAGUCAUAAUCUUCUUGUGUUGAACCUCUAGAUCUAAAUUUUCUUCCAAAAUAUUAAUUAGAAAUUUGCAUGAAAUUAAAAAAUACGAAAAAUCACACAAGUUGGCAGGAAAAUCAAUAUCCAGGAAAAAAAAAGUGAAAGGGAAGUGUGCUUGUUGUUUUGGCACGAAAUUUGUUCUAUAAUUUGUACCUAUUUUAUACGAAUCAUAGUUCUGAAAUUUCAAUUGAAAAUUAGUGUGAAAAAAAGUGCCAAAACUAGAGGUUUCUUAAGUCUUAUUUUUUUAGUUUUUUUUUACUCUACUCUAGAGUCAUUCUUCUUGUGUUGAACCUCUAGAUCUAAAUUUUCUUCCAAAAUAUUGAUUAGAAAAAAAAUGCAAAAAUCUACGUGUAAAUCACUUAAUCCAUGUUGUCUUAGAGUCAUGUUUAGUCAUAAUAAUUGUCACAUUAUGUUCUAAGUUUGUGUUGAAUUGUGAUUUUGUUGAUUGAAUUCUAGAUACAUUUGUUCAUGUAUUCUUGUCAUUCUUAGCCUAUCUUUUGAAUUUUGAGUCUAAGUCAUGCAUGUUAUUUAGUUCAUAACAUGUUCUAAAUCAAUUCCUAGAAGCAGUCUUGUUGUUGAACUUUGUUUUGUUUUCUAAGUUUCCUAUAUGAUGCCUAUGAAGAAAUUGAGUUGUGGUGUUGAGUUGUGGCUAAAUUUGUGAACCAAAAUAAGUCUUAAGCUCUCUUGAAUUGUGUUAUUCAAGAUAUUUGAGCAUAGUCAAACACAAAUUGUGAUUAUCCAAGCCUUAAGCAACAUAAACACUACUAUUGAUUUCUAGGUUAAAAUCACUUGUGCUCGUAGCUUGAACAUACAAACUUGUAAAAAUUAUUGGGAAUUGGUCACUGCGAAUUUUGAGCUGAAAUUUUUAUUGAAUUUUGUAGACUUCUGGAAAAAAAUUAUAAAAAAGGAACCAAGCGAUUUGGAUAAAAUGAAAAAAUACGAAAAAUCACACAAGUUGGCAAGAAAAUCAGUAUCCAAGAAAAAAGUGAAAAGGAAGUGUGCUUGUUGUUUUGGCUUGAAAUUUGUUCUAUAAUUUGUGCCUAUUUUAUACCAAUCAUAGUUUCGAAAUUUCAAUUGAAAAUUAGUGUGAAAAAAGUGCCAAAACUAGAAGUUUCUUGAGUCUUAUUUUUUUAGUUUUUUUUACUCUACUCUAGAGUCAUUCUUCUUGUGUUGAACCUCUAGAUCUAAAUUUUCUUCCAAAAUAUUGAGUAGAAAAAAAAAACACAAAAAUUUAAGUUUAAAUCACUUAAUCCAUGUUGUCUUAGAGUCAUGUUAAGUUAUAAUAAUUGUCACAUUAUGUUCUAAGUUUGUGUUGAAUUUUGAUUUUGUUGAUUGAAUUCUAGAUACAUUUGUUCAUGUAUUCUUGUCAUUCUUAGCCUAUCUUUUGAAUUUUGAGUCUAAGUCAUGCAUGUUAUUUAGUUCAUAACAUGUUCUAAAUCAAUUCCUAGAAGUAGUCUUAUUGUUGAACUUUGUUUUGUUUUCCAAGUUUCCUAUAUGAUGCCUAUGAAGAAAUUGAGUUGUCGUGCUAAUUUGUGGCUGGAUUUGUGAAUCAAAAUAAGUCUUAAGGUCUCUUGAAUUGUGUUAUUCAAGACAUUUGAGCAUAAUCAAACACAAAUUGUGAUCUUCUUAAUGGAAUUAACAUUCUCUUACUUUGUACUACCUUGCUAGUUAGAUUCUCAGUCUUAACAAAUUUCAUUUAUUUUAAAUAUAUAUAUAUAUACACACACACACACACACACACACACACACACACAUUUGUAUUGCUUGCAUGCUGCCUGAAUAUUGUUUGGAUUGAUGUUGUUUUUAAUUUUGUAGUUUUGGGUUAAUUAACAAAACAAACAACAUAUUUAAAAAAAAUACAAAACAACAUUGAUUCUGAAAGAACCGAUGUUGUAAUGCACCAUACAACAUUGGUUUUGGCUAAAACCGACCGAUGUUGUAUAGUAGCAAAACAACAUCGGUUUUGGAAGAAACCGAUGUUGUAUGGUGCAAAACAACAUCGGUUCUUCCAAGACCGAUAUUUUUGAAGUUUUUGUAUUUUUCUUUGUAUAUUUCUUUCUAUACGACAUUGGUUUUCUUAAAAACCAAUGUUGAGUAGUGUAUGUCAAUUUCAGUUUUAUAAAAAUUGAUGUUAACAUUGAUACUUUUAAUGUUGGUGGUUUCAACAUUUGUUAAAAGUCGAUGUUGAAAGUAAAAAAUAACUGAUGUUAAAAUCCUAUUAUCUAGUAGUGUUACUGCUACCACCACCAUUGUGAUCACCACUAUGGCCACAAUUGUAGCCAUUAACCUAAUGUCCUUGAUUGCCAACUUCUUCGUGGCUCUCAUAAUAUAAUACUUCACACAGUGACACUUCACUCAACAUCCUUUUUGGUCAGAACCUUCCGUAGGUAGUCCUUUCUAAGACCUCGACAAUCAUCUUUGACACUGCUCAAUUGCUCUCAAGAUCAUUGACUGUCCCCACAAAUCAACAUGAGACUUUUUAGCAUGCUUUUUCCUCACUCACAUGCUUGCACGAAAACUUCCCUGAAGAUCACCUAUCUCAUAACUACUCUAAGUCAAGCAAACUUAACUGUGAAGUUCUUAAGUGAUAAGCUACUAAAAAGUAGAUACAUCUUGUUGGUAUAAGUAGUGUCAAUUAAUACUUUUAAGUUCUUGAGUCUUUUGUUUUAGUUUUUUUUACUCUACUCUAGAGUCAUUCUAAGUUUCUCUUUGAGUCCUAGCUUGCUUUUAUGUGCUUUUCAUUGCUUUAAUUGUUGAAUAAUCCUUGAAAAUUUGUCUUGUUAAAACUCUAUUAGUUUAACUUUCAUUUCAUUUUUUUGGUCUUCGGUUAUUGCUUGUCUCUUUGUUUCCUUGUUUGUGAGUUGCCAUAUAGGGAAUUGGAAAGGAGGAUUGGUGUCAUCCCUUGAAGAAUUUGAGUCAAGAAGCAAGGAAAAAACCACCUUAAGAGCUAUUAGACUAAGAAGCACUCCAAAUUGAGAGAAUCACCAAAGAGAGAACAACCAUCAAAAUUGAGGACCUUUUGGUAAUUUUGUAAUUGAUAAUUUACUUACUUUCAUUGCUUUCAAAUUUUGUAACAAAAAGGCCUUUCAUUGGAAGUAAGUUGGGAGCCUCCAAUAGGUCACCCUACUUCCAUUUGUGUGUAAUAAUUUUAGGCAAUUUUCCCUUAGGAUUAUGAGUGUUUUGUUGGGAACCUUAAAUGUGGUCAUCCAAACACUCUUAGGAUUCGCCUAGUUUACAUUUCUUGCUUACUUUCAUAGCUUAUUUCUUUUACCUUCCAUUGUCAAACAGCCUAGAUAGCUUACCUUUUACCAAUUAUUUUUUACCUUAUCUUUCACACCUCUUUUAGUGUUUAUUUUGGCUAGUUUCAACCAUAGUCUCUUUUACCUUUUGUUUUCAAACCCCCAACAAGAAAGAACCAUAACUUAGGAACCAACAUGAGUCUUCAUUCUUCAUCUAGUGUUAAUGGUGAGAGUUCUACUCCUAAGGACCCCUUGUAUAAGAUAUUAGAUGAGUUGAGAUCCCUUAAGUUGUGGAAAGAAAAACAAGAGAGAAGAAAAAAGGUAAAAAAAGAGUGGAAGAAAUAAGUCAAGAUGAAAGAGAGAAAAUAAGAAAGGAAGAAAGAAGAAAAAUAAUGAAAGAAAUGAAAAGAGAAAAACAUGUCUCUUAUAGUAGUCAUAACUCUUGUAAGAGCCUAAGUGAAGAACUUCGUGACUAUUAUGAAGGAAGGCAUAGGUCACAUCUUAGACCUCACUCCCAUAGGAGAGAAAAUGAAAGAAAGCCUCAAGAGGCUAACAUUAACCUCCCAUACUUCCAUGGGAAGGACAAUGUAGAGGCUUACUUAGAUUGGGAAAUAAGGGUAGAGCAAAAACUUAAAAAAAAGUCUACUUUAAAAUCUUAUGGCUCUCAUUCUUAUCCAAAGAAAGACCAAGGUCUAGGCAUCUUAAGGGUAGCACCUUCUAAGCCCAAAGAUGAUAAGAGGAAGACAAUAGAAAAGCAACCCCCUAAGGCUAGUAUGCAAGAAAAGAUUAGCUUUAUAAAGUGCUUUAAAUGUCUUGGAAGGGGACACAUUACUUAUCAAUACCCCACCAAGAAAACCAUGAUUAUGAGGAGCCAAGACAUUUAUAGUAGCCAAGAUGAGGCUACUCUUUACCUUCUUCGAGUGAAAGUGAAGAAGCAAAAGGGGAAAAAUCUAGUGAAGAAAUCUACCCCCAAGAAGAAGGACAACCUUUAAUGGUUAAGGAGGAGUGUAAGAAGGUAAGUGUCUCCUCUAAAAGGUUAGCUAAGAAGGGAAAGACAUUUUGCAAUAAAGACAAAUAUUAAAGAAACUUUCCCUCUUAGACAACCUCCACAUUUUCUCCUUUGUAAAAAGACACUUGUUAGCAUUGGCACAUCUCUUGGGCUUGAGUUUAUUCCUCAAGUAAAGGAGUUGAUGGAUGAGGGUUUGGUUCGCAAGAGCUUAAAUCCUUGUGCUUUGUUGGUGCCCAAAAUAGGUAUUAUUAGGCACCAAAUCCCUAAAAUAGGUGGUAUGAUGAAUGUUUUGAGUGGUGCAACCCUCUUUUGUAAAAUCACUCGUGCACCCAACAUCUUCAUGAUUUGUGUACAUAGGGACUCAUUAGGUAGGUUUGUUCUUUUUUUUAGUUUCAAUACAAACUUAGGUACUCAUAUGGGACACCUUAGGUUUGAAAUACUUUUUGUUAGGAAUAAUCAACAUGAAAAUAUAGAAAAAUGUAUGUUUUAUUGCAUUACUUUUCUUAAUUUUUUAAAUAGUGAUCAAAGGGUUCCCAUGAACCCUAAGAGAAUAAAGGUCAUUCCUGAGUGGCCCACUCCACCAAGUAUAAGAAAAAUUUGGGGUUUCCAUGACUUAACAAACUUUUACAAAAGGUUUGUCCCAUAUUUUUCUAUACUUGUAGCACCACUCAUUGAGUUGGUGAGGAACCAUGUUCCUUCAUGGGAAGAUGCCCAGGAAAUGGAUUUUCAAAUCUUACCUUACUUCAACAUACCAAACACCACUAAUAUAUAUGUUUUUGUUCUUUUUACAGGAGUUGAGGAAAAAAGCCCAGAGUUUCAAGAAUCUCGAGAUUUGAGAUCAAAUCCUUUUCAAGGGGGAGGGAAUGAUGCAAUCCUACCCUGCAAGGGCAUUGGAUAGAAGACUCCAAGUAGAUUGGGCCAGAGAUGCAAGAGAAGACCCUAAGGUUCUCGAGCCCAUGGGCUAAGUAUGAGCCCACUUAUCUUUGUACAUAUUAUAUUAAGGUUUCAUUAUUUUUGGGCCUUGUAUUUAGGGCUCCAUAAUGUAGGUAUGGUAUCCUAGAAAUGUAGGAUUUUUCAGCCCUUGUAUUUUAGGGCACCUAGACUAGUUUUUGUAUUAGGGGUAGUUUUGUAAUUUCACAUGCAUUAAGUGAAUAUUUGAUGUGUGUGUUGGAAAAUAAAUUUAAUUGAAUUGGGAGAAGCCCAAUCCAAUUAAAUUUUAGAGGGGAAGGUGAGCAUUUGCUUACUACACCCCAUUGCCACAUCAUAUAGUCACACUUUGUGCAUGUCCUUCAUGCUUUACAUGCCUCAUGACACCUACGCACACUUAGUGAAGAAUCUUGGACUUGAUCUUGGAUUAGUAGGCUGAACCAUAACUAAAAGUCACUAAUCAUAAUUAGUAAAAUUUUGGCUCCAAAAUUUGGCUCCACAAAUUCAAUUUCAAAUCCAAGUGAAAUUUGAAUAGAAAUUCAAAUUUCCCUCCAAUUUUGUGUGACACUUAGGCUAUAAAUAGAGGUCAUGUGUGUGCAAUUUUUUUCAACUUUGAUCAUUUGAAAAUUAAACUUCAGAUUUCAGAGCUCUUUUAGAGCACAAAAUUUCGUCCUUUUCUCUUCCUCUCCCUCCAUUCAUCUCUUUCUUCCUCCAAGCUCUUAUCCAUGACCUCUUAUGGUGAUGAACUUCUUCUAGACUCAUCUUCUCCUUGAAGUGGCGUCUCCUCUCUCUCUUCCUUCUCCAUUUCACUGCCAUUCAUCUUCCAAGAAGCAAAUGAAUCUAUUGAUGAAGAAGAUCCUAGGCCUACAAACUCCAAUGGAGCUUACAUCACUGUGGGUCUUUCAACUUGGUUAUUUUAGGAGGCUAAUUUGGCUACUUGGCAAGUCAAUUGAAUACUCAAAGCGAUUAAAAUGCUUGUUGUGAAGUUAUAAUCUUGCUUUUAUUAAAAGGAGGUAUUUGACUAUUAGACUAGUCGAAUACCCUUUCAGUACAGUAGAUAAUCACAAAGUUUUCCAAGUGUAUUUAUAAUUCCUAUUUUUCUUAAAACCAUAAUGUGAUCAAAAGUGGGGCUACCCACUGCCAAGUAAAAUUGAAGGCAUCCUUCUCAACCAACCAUUGAUUGUGACAUUGAGAAUUCAGUAGGACUUAUUGAUUGUCAAACAUGAUACAAAACAGAACACAUUAAAAGGAAAUGAUUUGUUGAUUCAAAAACAUUAUAGAAACAUAGCAUUUAAGAGUUUUCUUUUGGUGAGAUUCCUCUCUUGAGAAGAUUAUAUUUUCUGGGGAGUUUAUUAAGAACCACCUUUUGAGAAGCAGAGGAAGUGUAUAUAGAUUGUCAAACAAUAUACUAACUUCUGAAGAGCCUUGUUGUUGAAGCUUUUAAUUUGUAUGCUGGCUUUAUUGUGUAAGACAUAUAUGGAUGCAUCUAUCUUCUAAAGCUCGGGUCUGAUUGAUCUUCACAUACUAAUGCACUGUUAAUUAUAAAACAAAUCAAAGUGUUUACUAAAUCCUUUUCUCAUUCCAGCAAGUUUCAAUGCUAAAAUAGAUUCCACUUCCAAGCACCAUUUUUUCCAUGCACUGGCCACUUCAUUGACUUUUGCCUCCUCGGUUGUACAGAUGAGAAACAUGUCAAAAAGAUCUUUUGAACCUAGCUUCUACCAAUUUAUCAACUAUAAUAGUAGGUACCACACUCCUAUUUCCUAUUUUGAUGGCUACUUCCUCUUUAAACCAUUUUUUCUCGCACUCUCACCAUUCUGACGCCAUAGUUUCCUCUUUAUUUAACUCCCACUUUACAUAUUUUUUGAGACUAUAAUCAUGUUCAAUAAAACCUAUCCCUGGACUACUAAGUUUUAUUUUUAAUUCUCCAUAGGAGCUAAUUUAGUCGAAUAAUUCAAAGUCUCUCACCCUUAAUCCUCCCUCUUUUAAUUUCACUAGCGUACUCUUUCUCUUUUGACCCAAACCACUUCUGAUGAAUCCUCAUAAUUACUCCAACAAAUUUAUAAUAUGAAUUAUAAAAAAUAUUACACCACCAUUCCAACAUAAACGUCGUCCUAGUUUAUUUUACAGAAUAAAAAAAAUAAUAAGUAUAUAAAAGAGAAUAAUAAAUUUAUAAAACUAACUUUAUUAUAUAGAUAAAAAAGAAUAAUAUUAAUAUUAUAUUCAAAAACUAAAAUAACAUUUAUUACGAGCAUGAUGAAAAAAAGUAAUUAAUAUUACAUUAAAAAUUAAAUGGGAUAAGAAUAAUUUGUUUUUACUAAAUGCUGCACUUAUUUUAGGACAAAUGUAGUAUUAUUACAUCCGUCUCUAUAUAUAAGAUUUUUUCAAUUAAUUUACGUGUUUAAAAAAGUAGUUAAUUUAAUUAAGUACAUUAAAUUUAUUAAUAAUUUAUACUAUUUUUCAAAAUUAUCAUUAAUUUCUCUUUUCACUUAAUUAUUUCUCACCUAAUUAAUUAAUGUGAUUUCUUCUAUUCUCACAUUCUAAUAAGAGAGAAAGUUCGUAUAGGAAUGAAAUAGGUAAUUAAUGCACUAAACAAUUAAAAGAAAGUUUUAUAAAAAUGAAUAAAUAAUAAAAUAAAAUGUAUCUUAUAUAUGGAAACAAAGAUAGUAUUUCUAACUAACGAGACUAUUGUUUUGCUUUUCUUUUAGAGGGUAUUUUAGGAUAUUAAUUAAUAAACUAAAAAGAAAAAUAAUUAUUGUGUAAAUCAUAAGAAAAUAAAAAAAAAUUAUAAAUAAUAUAAUUUUUAUGUUUUCCAAUAAAAAUAUUUUAUUUUAAAUUCUUUAACCAAGGUAUUUGCCGCAAUUGUUAGACUUUGCUCUUUUUAAUUGUCGUAUGAGAGGUGGAGGAUGCAUGCACUUUAGCGAUUCUCCAUCCUGGAACUCAAUCCUCACGUGUAAUUUGCAAGCGUUGGCGGUGUGGUCAUUCCCAAGGAAUAUCUGUUCUCGUUAACUUUGCACUUUUUGGCCCUUAAUCAUACUGUACCUCCAAGAUCAAAAUCGUAAUUAAACAUUUAUGCAAAUUUUAUAUAUAUAAAAAAUCUAAUAAGUAUUUUUAAAAUAUUGGUUAAAUAAUUGAAAGAAAAAUAUUUUUAUUGAGAUAAGUAAAAUUAUACUGUUAGAUGACUUUUUUAACUCUUUUAUAAUUUUCAUAAUAAAUAUUUUUUCUUUUAAAUAUCUUAACUCAUUGACUAACAAGAAAAUAAAAAAAAAUAAAAAAUUUACCCACAUCAAAGUGAUGGAAUCAUAAUAUAAGUGUAAAUGUGAUCUCGUGACCUUCCAAAAUUGUAUGUAUUUUUUAAUAUUUAAUUUUUUAUAUUAAAACUCUAGCUUUUAGUGAAUCAGUGCAAAACUUAUUAUGAUCAUGUAGGAACUGUAGACGACCUCAAAAGAAAAAAAAUGAAGUAACUGUAGACUACAUAUAUUAAUUAAAUUUGUUAUCAUGUAUGUGUUAGGUUAGGGAUGACAUAUAGUAACUGUAGACUACAUUGUCCCGAUUCUCAUUAAGGAAUAUUAUUUUACUCUUGUGCCUGUUCUUUGAUUCCAAGCAAAGACCCUGAAAUUAUUCAAAACAAAAAAAAAAAAUCUUACUCUAGUCCUUUAAAUUAUAUAAAUUAGAUAUUUUAAUCCUGAAAAUUUUAGAAAUAUUUAAUUAACUUAUUAAUAUACUUCCUUUAUGGGCUGAUAAAAAACUUAUUAUUAUUAUUUUUUUAAAAAGUCAUUAUUAUAAUCUUUUACGACUGUAUUUUUAUUCGUUUUGAAUAAAAAAGGAAAAAAAUUAAAUGGCAUUUUAUAAAAAUAAAGAGUGAAAAAAAUCAGAGAUUAAAAUAUAACUCAUACAAUUUUAAUGAUUUAGAUAAUAAUAAAAUAAUAAAAGGGCUAAAGAAUAAUCAUAUGACCCAUAUAUAUAUGAGAGAGAGAGAGAGAGAGAGAGAGAGAGAGAGAGAGAGAGAGAGAGAGAGAGAGAGAGAGAGAGAUUGUAGAAGUAGUUUAAGUAAAAUUUAUGUAAAUCCUUUCAAGUAUCCUCUUAUGUAUACAAUUAUUAAAAGUAAUUAUGUAAUUUUUAUGUAUAAAGAUUCUGCCGAAAAAAUACUUUUUUCUUCUCAAUCUCUCCAUCGAUCUAAAUAUGUUUCAUAGAGUUCUAAAAUCCUUGUUUUCAGAGGAGGAAAAAAAAAUGAAUUUGAAGUUUCAAUCAAAAAAAUUUAAAGUAUUUCUAAAUUAAGGGAAAAAAUUGUCAUCUAUGUAUUAGAUAAUUAAUUAAGGGGAUUUAGAAUUAUUUUUUCAUAUUUAAUUUACUUAGUGUUAUUAAAUAACAUUGAGUCUUGUGGAUAUAAAACAUAAUUAGAAGGAGAAACCUUAAAAAAAAUAGUUAAAUAGGUUCUCUAAAAUUAUCAUCAGUAAAAUUAAUAGAUACUCGACAUCAAUAUUAUGAAGAUAAAAAAAUAUAUUGAUAAAAAAAUGUUGACUUCGUCUCAUUUUUAUGUCUAAUUUUUUAAGUGUUAGCUUUCCAAAAAAAGUACUCUUAUUUAUUAAUAUUGUUUUAAAAUUUAAAAUAAUACCAAUUAUAUAUUAUUGAUAAUUAUAUAUAUCUUUAUCUUUAUGAUUUAUUUUAUAAAUUUAUCAUAAAAUUAAAUAGAAAGAAAUAAAAUAAAAAGUAACAAAAUUAAUCAAUAAAAUAAAUAAAAGGCACAACAGAAAACUAGAUAACAAUUUUAAGAAACACAAGAACAUUAGUUAUAAUUUUUAUUUUCUGUGUCACAACCUUAAACAACAUUUAUAAAAUAGAAGUAGUAAUUUUAUAAGGAUAAAAAUUGAAGUGAUUAGGUACUAGUAAAACUAUUUUUAGUUAAAAUGCAAAUUUUAGUUAGAUUAUUCGCAUCAAGUUUUAAUACUAAACUAUUAGUGAUUAAUGAGACAAUUCUGAGUUUAUUUGAUAAACAAUAUCAUAAAUAUGCAAAGAUUAACUACUUAAUUGAAAGACUAUAUAAAUAUCUAUUUAUUGAAAGUUGUACAAAUAAUAGUAAGGGUUAAAAUUUAAUGUGAAGGUGGAAUAUCUUACAUUAAGAAUAAAUAGAUAAGUUGAGUAACACAUAAGUGAGAAAGACUCAUAAACCUCAUGUCUUAUGAUUUUAUGUUAAAGGUGAUGUCAAAUUCACUUAUUAUCUACUUGUAUAUUUGGUCUAUUAGUGAAGAUUUUUCCAGUGUUUUAUUCCCCUAGAUUAGAAUCAAUGGUUUGAUCUGGUGAACUUGUGCAAAUAUAAUGGAAUUAGUGGUGGAUUCACGCAUGAAAAUUUUUUAUAUCGAAAGUCUUCUUAAUGGUGGGUAUAGGAAUCGAAAAGUUCUCACAAUAACAUCGAAAUUGGACUAUAUGUCUCGCUAAUGUGAAUUAAUGGCGAUGCAAGUAUCUAGAAUGUCAUCAUUGAAUACUUGCAGAUUAAAAAAAAGUUUCCGCUUGAGGGAGAACUACCAUAUGUAAAAAAUAUUCAUACUUAAGAAGAAUUGUUAGAAUUCAAAUGUGAAGGUGAAAUCAAACAUUAGGUAAAAAUAAAUAAGUUGAGUAACAUAUAUGUGAGGAAGACUCACAAAUGUGAUUCCUUUAAGUUUGGAGAUGAAGAUAAUGUCAAAUUUACUUGUGUGUGGUGUGCUUGUAAUCCAUUGUUAAAAAUCUCUAUGAUGUUUUAUCUCUUUUAGAUUCCCAAUAGUCUUUAUUCAUAAUUUUAUAGUUUUUAAUAAAAUUUAAUUAAUAUUUGUUGUAAGAAUGGUGGAUCUAAGCUCUGAUACGGUGGUUCGAGGCUCCCAUGCGUUGUGUAAGAGAUUUGGAGUGGUAGAUUUGAGUAGAUCUUAGAAGAGUGUAGGGAGAAGAAGCCAAGUUUGGGUUUGUAUCCAGAAUAUUAAGUUAGCCCUGUAGUUUGUUGUUGAUAGGCUUAUAUAGUCAUUUUCAGCGGGAAAAUCCAUUAGAUGCCCAUGGCCACGUGUAUCCAGUGGUUGUCAACGGGCAAAGUUUAUCCCUUGUCAGUUGCUAAGCGUCGGCGAUGCUCAAAGAUCUCGACGGAGGCAUCUCAAGAUACCUAGGUCUGAGAUACAUCUCUAACAAUAUUAGAGAAUGUAUUAAAAAAAAUAUUAUUAAUAUUUUUGUGUGUGAGUGUGUGCAUUAUCUGCAUUCUUUCGUUUCUCAUAAUAUCAUCCCUAACUAUUUGGAUUUUAACAUUACCGACAUAAUAGCAUGUAGAAAAUGCCCAGCCGACACCUAAAAGGCAUGAAGAAAUAUGAUGUGGUUGAGCAAUGCUUUGUCGUUGAUUGAUUUGUCAAAUGUUUAUUUGUUUCCUUUAGAAAAUAAGUGUGCAAUAAUACAAUAACGAAAGGGACCUCAAUACAAUAUAACUUGUUUCUCAGAAAAAGAAAAUAAUAUCUAUAUACAUCGGAGAGGAAUCAAAUUAUUAGUCAUUGCUUUAAUUAUAAUUCAAAGUUUCUAUAAUAAAACUACUAAACUGGGUCACGUGACUGUAAAACACAUAUAGCUUAUUUUUACUUAAGAGGAAAACACAUAUAUACCUCCUCAAUAAAACUCUGGAUCUCUAAGAUCGUCAUCCUUAAUCACACAGCUCAAUAUUGUGGUCACGAGUUAUAUAGCUAAUCACGUGAGGCACCUUUGCAUACUUGAUAACGAAAAAUUGCUUGAUGGAUUAUUCGUUGGUGAGGAAACUAUUUUAUACCAUGAUGAAUUUCGUUUGAAUAUCUGAAUGGGCUAGAAGCAAAUCAUUGAGGUAUAGAGAUCGUAUGUGUUAUAUUCGAUCGCUUCUAUGUAAAAUUUUAAGUAUAUAUCAAAUUGCCUUGAUUUUGUCUAGUUUUUGUGCUACGUACCCUGCUAUCUAGGAAUAGUGGCCUUGAUUGCUGUAAAUGAGGUUGUGAUGAUGGGGGUUUUAAUCUGAAAUUGCCGCAUGAGAUAAAAAUAUUGGAUUAUUGUUGAGUAGAGAAAUUUAUUGAGGCUAUGCGAGGAAGAAAGGAAAUUGCUUGAAAUUUUGAAUAGAAGAGAGAAGCUAAUAUAGAGAAUGAGGAUUUGAGUCUAAUUCAAUUUCAAAAAUUAAUUAGUUUAUAGGGUGAAAGUUAUCUUUAUUUAUAUAAUCUAUCUUGACCUCUAGCCGAUGUGAAACUUGAGAUUUGUUUUUCAAAUACUCCCCCUCAUGUCCAACACUUUUGGGCUUAGUGUGUGGAUAACAUGAUGGGUGACUCGUUUAAUGGAUUUAAGAUAUGUUUUAAUACCAUUUUAAAAUGUGGGUAUGAGCUUAUCUAAAACCCAAAUACUAGUUCAUGGGCUGAGGGUUACUCCCAUUUAUAUAGUCUAUCUUGACACUAUCUCUAGUCAAUGUGGGACUUGGGUUUUCCAAUAUUAAUUACUCUAAAUCACAAUCAAUAAUCUUCGAAGAAUUUCCUUUAUUCUAAAAUAAACUAUGUUUAAGACCUUUUACAUAUAUUAAGGAAAAUAAGGCUGAAACAUGUGUUUUUGUCCUUAUAAAAUUGGUAAAGUUUCAUUUUUGUCCCUUCGAAAAAUUUCGUUCUUGUUGCGUUUUCAUCAUUCGAAGUAAGGGGGAGUAAGAACUUUUGCUCGUAAGUAUGGCAUUGGCCUACAUGACGAAGCAUAACCAUGCUUCACGUAAGCAGGGACAUUCGAAAGGGAAACAAAAUAGAGUAAGACUUUAGGAAUUAUAGUCUAUCUUGACACUACCUCUAGUCAAUGUGGAACUUGAGUUUUCCAAUAUUAAUUACUAUAAAUCACAAUCAAUAAUCCUCAAAUUUCCUUUAUUCUAAAAUAAACUAUGUUUAAGACCUUUUACAUAUAUUAAGGAAAAUAAGGCUGAAACGUGGUUUUGUACUUAUAAAAUUGGUAAAGUUUCAUUUUUGUCCCUUCAAAAAAUUUUGUUCUUGUUGUGUUUUCGUCAUUCGAAGUAAGGGGGAGUAAAAACUCUUGCUCGUAAGUAUGGCAUUGGCCUACAUGACAAAGCAUAACCAUGCUUCACGUUAGCAGGGACAUUCGAAAGGGAAACAAAAUAGAGUAAGAUUUUAGGAAUUAUAAUCUAUCUUGACACUACCUCUAGUCAAUGUGGGACUUGGGUUUUCCAAUAUUAAUUACUAUAAAUCACAAUCAAUAAUCCUCGAAGAAUUUCCUUUAUUCUAAAAUAAACUAUGUUUAAGACCUUUUACAUAUAUUAAGGAAAAUAAGGCUGAAACAUAUGUUUUUGUCCUUAUAAAAUUGGUAAAGUUUCAUUUUUGUUCCUUCGAAAAAUUUCAAUCUUGUUGUGUUUUGGUCAUUUGAAGUAAGGGGGAGUAAGAACUCUUGCUCAUAAGUAUGGCAUUGGCCUACAUGACGAAGCAUAACCAUGCUUCACGUAAGUAGGGACAUUCAAAAGGGAAACAAAAUAGAGUAAGAUUUUAGGAAUUAUGCACGACCAUGCUUCACAACAAAAUUACCACUUUGGAAUGUAUGCAUAGAAACUUGAUGUGUAAAAUAUAUUUGCACAAGGGCAAGCAUACCCUAUACAAAAGUUAUAGUGGGCCGAAGUCCAAAUAUCAUACCCAAAGGAUCAGUUGUAUUCCCAUAAUAAUUUAAUUUUCAAUAAACUAAACAAUUUGGGCUUUCAUCGAUAGUUGAAAGAUUUGUGUUUAAUUACUUUGUAGAAAAUACUACUCUAGAAUAAUGAGAGAGACAGUGCAAUGAAAUUAUAGAUGAAAAGGCUUGGGGCUAUGAUUAAAUCUCACAAAAUGAAUUUCUCUAAUUCUACAUUAGUAAAUUUCUCAAUGUUUAUCAAUUACUGACUUCUCUUAAGGUUGCUCAAAGGUUUUUGCCAAACACUUUCAACAAUCUUUCUCUUAAUUUAGUUCUAAUUUGGUAAUUAAGAAAUAAAUUACGACAAAGCAUAAACACAUAAAGAAUGACAAUCAGAAAUACCUAAAAUAUGUUUGGUCAAUCAUUAUUCUAAAGGAUUCAGUUGUUCUAUAAUUGCUAUUCAUAUGAAGUCGAUCACAAACACACAAAUAAAUAAAAUAUAGAUUGACCAAGUCUAAUGAGAAAUUAAGCACAAUAUAACAACAUAAUUGACUGAAUAAAAAUAUUUUAAAUUAAGUAAAAUUGGGGUUCAUCUGCAGAUUACAUCAUAACCCUAGAAAAUAAGGGUUUAGCCAGCCAUAGGCACAAACAAGCAAAACAAUAACCUCAUAUGCAUGAGAAAGAUAAGGGAGUAAGAAAAAUUACAAUUAGAAGCCCCAACAAUCUUCUCGUGUUCUUCCCAAUUCAAAAGAGAUCUCACACUAUGCCUAGGUCACUCACAAAGUCAAUUUUUGUACACAACGUAAAAUAUAUCUACUUUCAUUUUCCUCUUUCUAUUUAUAGUACAAAAUUAGAGUGUUUGUCAUGGAAGGAAGCACGAUCAUUCUCGAAAAAUUAAAGCCUGAUUGUGAAAUUUGGAGAAUAAUCAUCCUAGAUGAGAACAAUUGUUCUUGAAAAAUUUGAUGUUGUUUCCCAAUUUUUGAAAAUCAGAGCAUGGGUGGGCUGGAAGGAACAUAGAUGUGCUGGAAUAAGCACGACCAUUUUCCCAAAUAGCAUGAUCGUGCUCUUCGUCAUGGUUUUUGUUUAACUUUUUUUCAGCCUUUUUUUUGUGAGUUUUCCUCUUUUUUCAACUUUUGGUCUGUUUGCGUCACACUUUAAAGAAGUCCAUGAGUUUUGCCAACAAAUUAAGUAUAAAAAAAACAUGCAAAACACAAGGCUAAAAUUCUUAUCAAAUAUCACACAAAUACCAGUUUAUCAACCUCCCCACACUUGAACAUUGAUUGUCCUCAAGCAAUUAUUCUGAUUUAAAUAUUAAAAUUGGUUUCUCUUAAUCCAAGAAAUCAUUCCAUAGAGCCACAAAAUUUGUUUUUUAUUAACACUCAACAUAAAAUAGAAUAGACAGACAACAUAGAGUUCAAGAUUUUUUCCCUAGGAACUUCAAUAGAUUUUCAAUUCUAGUUGGAUGUCAAGUUUCAAAGAGCAACAUAUCACUUUUCUCACCACAAUCAUAAGCACUCAGAUCACACUUAAGAAGUGUGAAACUCCAUCUAUCUGUCAAUCAACUUGAUAACUGCAAAAUUUGAGUUAAUUUGAUAAUCAAUUUUGGCCAUGAAUGAUUGAAAUUUCUUCACUUUACUGUUGUUUUUAAUGAAAUAAUAAAGAAAUUAAUAUCUUCAGAAUUUUUUAUUGGCAUAAUUCAAAAGAAAAAGAUUUCAAGUGCUUUAUAGGAAAAUUGAUACCAAAACUAGAAGAAAGAGCCUUGAAGAAAAGUUGGAAGAAGUAGAUAGCUCGCUUAGUGCAUAAUCCAGGCUUAGUGUGCACUCGUGCUUAGCGGGCAACCUCAAGCUUAGUGCGAAGAAAGCCCAAAACGAAGCUCAAAGGCGCGCUUAGUGUGAAAGCCCGCGCUAAGCACAAAGUCAGCAUGAAAAGUAAGCUACCUGGAGCCUAUAUAAGGAGGAAGAAGCUGAAGGGAAAAACACACCAAGUCUCAAAGGUUUCUAUUGAAGAUAUCCAAACCCUGAGCCUAUCCUUUAUGGGAAACCCUCCAUCUCUAGCCAUUCCUCUCUUUCUUGCUUUUAGUCAUUCAACCCCUUCUUCCAUCCACAUUAGCCCCUAAAGUGUAAAGUCUCUCAUGGCUAUGAGAGGCUAAACCUCCACUGUUGGGAGCCUAGCAAUCAAUGCCCUUGUAAUGCAACUAUUCUCAUUAUCUAUUAAUGUAAUUUUAGUUUCUAUUGUCUCUUUUCUGCUCUUCAUCUUUAUUGUGUGGUCUAGCCAUCCAUGCAUUAGUUUUUAGGGGUUAUACAUUGGGAAAUGGUAAUUUCUAAAGAACUAGAAAAGGGGAUCUAAACAAAUCAUUGUUAGGGAUAAAGUGACUUUGUUUUGCCUCUGCAUACAUCUCCAUGCUUAAUGUAAUUUACUAUUCAAUCUUUACAAAGGGAUUUGGGAGAGAGAAUAGAUAUAUUAGGCUCUUCAUUGUGAGGGAUCAGGGUUGAGUGUCUUAGUAGAUGUGGGUCGAAAUUGGGAAAACAUUUAAUAGAAAAAAACAUUAAUAUUGCAUCAAGGGUAGUUAGGCAUGCUAGGCCCCAACAUAUUUAAAUAUUGAAGUUAUCUCUUGCAUUAAUCUUGUUUAUUUUAUUAUUCUUGUCUUUUUAAUUUCAAAUUGUUUCCUUCUUCUUAUCUCUAUUAUAAUCUCUUGCUUGCAAAUUGGGUAUUCAUCAACGCAAGUACAAACAAAGUUCAUGUGGAUUCGACACUCGGUCUUCCGUUUAAACUUUACUACUUGUGAAAAAUUGGUACACUUGCCAACAAGUUUACACAAGUAAACUCAAACAACAAUCUAGAAAGCAUGAAAGUGAGGCAUCACAAGGUGUAAUAGGGUCAGACUGCAAUGUAAGGCAGGUAAAGAACAAAUAUGAUAACAAAAAGGCUCAUCAAUACCCCAACUUAGACUUAGUGACACAAACUGAGGAUACAAAAGCUUUAUCUAAUUAGCAAUAUCCCAAAAUCAUUUCCUUUUGAUCCCUUACUUCUUCUAUUUAUUUUCCUUAUGUGACUUUUUUUAAGAAGAAGAAGAAGAAAUUAAAAAAAAAAUCACAUUGGCAUAAAAAUAACAUAUGUACCGCAAUAAUACAAGUUGUGGGAUGGUUCAAAUAGUGCACAGUGAAAACCCCUCCCUACACUUAAGAGAUACAGUGUCCCUAAUGCAAAAAGCAUAAAACUAAAGCAUAACUUGAAAAUAGAGAAGGAACAAAGAAAACAAGAUUUAUUAAAAAUACAAAGAUUUUAAAUUUUCUAUGCCUACUAAUGCAAAAUAAAAAGGUAGAAAAAAAAGGAUAUGCCUAGCUCAAAGGCCAGUGCAUUCACAGGUUUCCUCCUAUAUAGCGCUUGUUUUUUGUCCCGAGCCUGAUGGUUGAAAGAGAGAUAAAUCAACCACCCUUGAAUAAGGUAAUGUCCUUUUCUCACAACAAUCCCUUAGCAAGGUCAUCCACUCUAUAGCUAAGUGCUUGAGUGGUGGUUCCAUCUCUAUCCCUCAUGCCACUUCAAAGGUUUUUUGGAAUGAUGUUUUCUUCCAAAGUGUUUUCCUUCCCACACUUGGCUGAUGCCUAGCCACAAUGACUUCCAUGUUUUUAGUGACUAGCACAAAAUUGCAGGAAAGUAAAGAGAAAGAUCUUUUUGCUUAAUCAAACACCUUAAACACUUCCUUCUCAUCACCUAGCCUCGAUGUCAAUUUCCCUUCUUGGACAUCAAUCAAGGCCCCUCCUAUGUUAACGAAAGGUCAUCCCAAAAUAAUUGGGAUUUCUUCAUCCUCCUCUAUAUCAAAAAUUACAAAGUCAGCUAGGAAAAUGAAUUUGUCAACCUUGACCAAUAAGUUUUGCAUUACCCGUUGUGGGUAAGUGAGGGUCCUAUCUACAAGUUGAAGAUAGACUUUAGUAGGUAGAAGUUCUUGCAACCCCAACUUCUUAAACACAAAAUAAGGCAUUAAAUUGAUACUAACACCUAAAUCACACAAUGUUUUAUCAAACAACAAGUUUCCUAUAGUAUAGGGAAUUGAAAAACUUCAUGGGUCCUUAAGCUUAGGAGUCAAUUUCUCUAAAACAACAACAUGACAUUCCUCAUUGAGACCAAUUAAUGCAAAGUCUUCCAAUUUCUUUUUGUUUUAAAUGAUUUCCUUUAAAAACUUGGAAUACUUUGGCAUUUCAGCAAUUGCCUUAGUGAAAGGAAUGUUAACAUGUAAUUUCUUAAACAUUUCAACAAACUUAGAAAGCCACUUAUCCUUCUGCUCAUUUCUCAUUCUCUAAGGAAAAGGAACACUUACCUGAGGAGGUGCCAAUACCCUUUUUUCACCCACUUUUUCUAUCUUGUGACUUUCUUCAGUGAGAGCCUCUUUUUCUAGUGUUGGAGUGGCUUUCUUUGUCUUCUUCGACUCUACCAUAGGCUUUCCGAUGCUGGUGCUCACUACAUUAAACUCCUCAUUCUUAGGAUUAACCUCUAUUUGAGAAGGAAGAGUCUUAGGAGCUCUUUGGGACAAAAGAUCUUUCAUGGUGGAGAGUUGAGUCUCCAUGAACUUCAUGUGCUCAUCAUUCUUGGCUAUAUAUUGGAUCAUAACAUCUUCCAAUGAUGGCCUUCUCUCUUCCUUCCUUGGCCUCUAAUUCUACAUAUGUGGUGGCAUAUACACAUUAUGAUUUUGCUCUGCCUAGGACCUUGGUUGAAUGUAUUAAAGUAAGGAUCAUAUCCUAUACUCUGUACACCAGCAUAGUUUACUUCCUCCAUGGCAUGUGCAAGUGCAUUACUCACUGGGCAUUCUCUUCCUCUAUGAGCCUCCCACACUUACCACAAGAGGGAGGUGAUAGUGUGGAAGCUAGAACCUAUGUCUGCACUCUCAUCAUAGUCUCCAUUUACUUGGUCGGCAUUUGGAGUUUUUGUUCAAUGCCUGAGCUGGAUGCUUCUACCUCCACUUGUUUCACCAAUCUCCUCACAAUCCUCUUAUCCCUAUAAUUUUUGUAGGGAUUAGAAGGCAUAUCUUCAAUGAUCUUGGUAGCUUCAACAUGAGAUUUCCUCCAUAAGCCGCAUCGACGCUUGUCCUAUUAUGAGAUGGCACUCCUCCAUAGAAAAUAUGUACAAAUUUUUGUGGGUUGAAACCAUGAUGUGGGCAACUCCGGAGCAACUCCCGAAACCUCUCAGAUGCUUGAGCCAAACUCUCCUGCUCCUUCGACACAAAAUUCUCAAUAUCUCUCUGUACUUAAUCAAUCUUAACUAUAAAGAAAUAUUUCUGAAGCAACUUAUUAGCGCAUUUCUCCUAAGUCGUGGUAUUGUGCUCGGGUAAAGCACAAAGGAAAUCCCAAGCUUUCCCAUUGAGUGAAACUGGAAAAACAUUCAAUCUCACAUACUUUCUAGGCACGUUUUGCACAUUGAUGGUGCUAGUCAACCUCAGGAAUCCUUUCAGGUGUGCCAUGAGUUUUUCAGAGGUUGCCCUAUGGAACUAAUUGCUUUCUAUCAUCAUCAAGAAACCAUAUCUCAUGUCAAAAUUGACUCUUGCCUCCAAAGUUGGCAACAAUAUGUUGUUAGCUACCCUCACUUGAGGAGCGAGAUAAUCUAACGGGGUCUACUCCACCUGCUCAUUGACAACAACCUCAUUCCCAUUACCUCAUCCAUUUCCAGCCAUGUCUCGUCUCCUCUGUUUAGCUCUAUUCUUGCAAGCAACUUUCUCGAUCUCAAGUUCGUGCAAGAGUUCAGGCCUCAGGGACUUAGUUAGCAUGCACUGAAAAUAAAAGAAAAGGAAUUAAACGCAAUUGAAAAUAGAAAAAAAUAAAAAUAACACAAAAUUAAAAAUUUUAGGAUUUAAAUAAUUGAAAUAAAGAUAAAUUAAAAUAGAAAAUUAAAGAAAAAUAAAAGCUAUAAACACUAUGAAUAGAAAUUUCUUGGUUCACACAAAAUGAAUUAUCCAAGAACUCUGCAAAUAGUCCCUGAUAAUGGCACUAGAAACUUGAUGCAUAAAAUAUGUUCACACUAGGGCAAGGGUAGCCUAUACAGUAGUUAGAAUGGACUUAAGUUCAGAUAUCGUACCCAAAGGACUAGUUGUGUUUCCAUAACUAUUCAAUUUGCAAUAAACUAAGCAUUUUCAAUUUUUUUUAUCAAAAGUUGAAAGACUUAUGUUCAAUUACUUUGUAGAAAACAAUACUCUAGAGUGAUCAAAGACAAUGCAAUGAAAUUAUCAAAUAAGAAGGCGUAGGGCUAUGACUAAAUCUCACAAUUGAAUCCCCUCAAUUCUACGUUAAUUGGCCACACACUUUUAACAAUCUUUCUCUUAAUUUAGUUCUAAUUUGGUCAAUUAAAAAGUAAAUUACGAGAAAACAUAAGUGUAUAGAGAAUGAAAAUAAAAAAUCCCUAAAAUAUGUUUGGUCAAUCAUUAUUCUAAAUGACUUAGUUGUUGUAUAAUUUUAUUAUUCAUACGAAGCUGAUCACAAAUGCACAAUAACUAGAAUAUAGAUUGAUCAAGUCUAAUGAGAAAUUAAGCAUGAUAGAACAAUAUAAUUGACUAAAUAAAAAUAAUUUUAAAUUAACUAAAACUGGGGUUCAUCUAUAGAUUACAUCAUAACCCUAGAAAAGAGGGGUUUAGUCGGCCAUAGGCACAGACAAGCAAAACAAUAACCUCAUAUACACGGGAAAGAUAAGGGAGUACGAAAAAUUACAAUUAGAAGCCCCCAUAAUCUUCCUCACAUUCUUCCCAAUCCAAAAGAGAUCCUACACUAUGCCUAGGUCACUCACAUAGUGAAUUUUCUUACACAACAUAAAAGAUAUCUACUUUCAUUUUCCCAUUUCUAUUUAUAGUACAAAAUUAGAGUGCCUGACAUGGAAGGGAGCACGAUCAUGCUGAAUAGAGGCACAACCAUUCUUGAAAAAUAGCAACUCUGAAAUCCCAAUUGCGGAAUUCGGAGAACAACCAUCUUAAAGGCGUUAUGGGGGUGUUCUAGAUGAACAUGACUGCUCUUGAAAAAUUUGACAUUGUUUCCCAAUUCUUGAAAAAUCAGAGCAUGGGUGUGCUAGAAGUACCAUGGUGUACUGGAAUGAUCACAUUCGUUCUCCCAAAGAGCAUGGCAGUGCUCUUCAUCAAAGUUUUUGCAAGUUUUCCUUGUUUUCAAGUUUUUCCCUAUUUGCAAUACACUUUAAAGAAUUCCAUGAGUUUUGCCAACAAGUUAAGUCAAAAACAUGCAAAAACAAGGCUAAACCUCAUAAAAUAUCUCACAAAUACUGGUUUAUUAGUCAUGCAUAUUUAUGCAAGACCAUGAUUUGAGAUGAGAACAACGCUUUAGAGGAAAUGAAGCAUGGUUGUGCUUCAUGUUGCAUGGUCGUGCAUUCCCUAAAGAGUGUGAAUCAAACUUAGGUGCCUUCAUAAGAAAUGCAAUCCUAGUAGCUAACCGAUAACUUUUGUCUCACCCAAAAAUAAGGUCCUUAGCUCAAGAUAUCAUAAUGUUUAUGAGCAAAUUUUGAGCUAUAAAAAUUACAUAGCUAUUUUAUGUUCCUUCUAAAUUUUAGUAUAGUAAAUUUUCAAACCAAUUUUUGAGGUCAACAUAUAAGUUGUAGUUAACUGUCUUAGCUUUCAAACUAGAUAAGAAUCAAAUUGAUAAAGUUAGUAUAAAUCUAGAAAUCGCCUUUUCAAUCUACAGUAGUCAUAGAUGUGUAACAGGAAAGGAGUGAGAUAACACUCAAAACUUAAGAAUUGUUAUUCUAAUUGGCUGUGAGUGUGACAUGUAUGUGAUAUGCAUGAGAUAAUUGAUUUGACUAUAUGUCAUUGUGAGAUGAAUGACUUAGUCUAUGAGAUUGAAAAAUUAGGCUUGGAUGGUAUCUAUAUAGUGAGUGACCUAAUUAAUCUAUGAGGGGCAAGGAUGCGCUCACUUCUGUGUGAUGGGACGUCUAAAGGGAUUAGUGUUGCAUCGGGAUGUGACAUGCAUCAUUUUCAUAGAGUCUCAAGUUGAUGUGAAAUAGAUAUGAGAUAGAUGGUGGAGGUUAUGACAACUUGAAUCUUAAGGGUUUUAGAGACCUAAUGUGGAAACCCCAUUAGCCCAUGUUAAGCCCAAAGGACUAAGGUCAAAAGUUGGGUAACCCUGCUAGUCAUUGAGUGGAUAUCAUUCUAGUGUAGUGCAAUAUAUAUUGAAGGCACUGACAUCAAUGAAGCAUCUUAUGGGUAGACAUAAAUGUACUAGAUUCAAGAGUUAGAGUUGGCACCACAUGACAUAUGGAAGUUCGGAUUACAUUGCACAUGGCAUGUAUACAAUUUUUAGUGAUUGCUGAUAAGCCUUUAUGUGAUUUUCAAUUGUUAAGGGAGUGUAUUUAUAUAUGUGUAAGAGUAUGCAUGCACUUGUGCUUUACCUAUUGUUAAUGUUAUACUAUAAGCAUGAUGUGAAAACAUAUUCUCACCCCUUGCUUUUGUUGUUCUUUGCUUGUAUGUGUUUAGGUUGAAUGUCAUUUGCAUGUAAUGUACUUCUGAAUAUUGAGUAGGAUGAUGGAGGAGCAACUUAUUUAUUUAUUUAUUUACAGUUGUUAUGUUUUCCUUUCAUAGGAUAGUAAGGUCUAACUAUUGUGACAUCAAGGAAUGGGAACUUCUAUAUUUUUAACUAAUUUUUUUAUAUUGCUUUCAUUUGAGAUGUAUGGCUUUUAAAGUGUCAAAUUUUAUAUAUUAAUUAAUGUUUUUGUUUAUGAAGCAUAUUAAAUUUGGAGUUAAAUUUGAGACAAUGAGAUAUGGACAUUGCUUCCAUAGACCACCUUAAUAGGUGGUCUAUUAUGGAUCAUUAAUGGUGGCCUUUAGAUUGAUCUAAUAUUCAUAGUGUUACGGUGUACCUCUGCAUAAUAGUACUACCUAUUUCUUUAUCCUCAACAACUACUACUUCCCUCUCAAGAGAAGUGCGAAAUGGGAUAUGAGAUUUGAGGGGUUUUAAUUUGUUUAAAUAUAUAAGAAGUGCAAAAUGAGAUUUGAGAUCUCUCAAACUCUUUUUAGAUUUGAGAUAUGAAACCCAUUUUUAUGUGAAGGUGCACUCAUAGGGGUGUGACACGCUGAAGGUGUGUUGCACGAAGGUCACAGUGAAGACAUUAAACUCGUUUCCAGAUUUAAAGAACGCGGAUGUACUCAAUCAGACAAGGUACCUCUCUUUUAAUUAAUUUGGUUAGGGUUUUCUUUAAUUAUCUUUCAAUACUCUGUUCAGCAAUGAGGUACCUCUCUUUCUCUUACUCUCUUGGCUCAUUCUCAAUUUCCACUCUAUACUUUUUUACAUUUUGUUCUGUAGAUUUAUUUGGUUUAGCUAUUGAAUUUUCUUCUUAUUUUUUUUCUAAACAAUUAGACAGGAUGAAUCUUGAGAACCAAUUACAUAUUCUACAAGAGAGAACUAAUAAAGAGGGUGUUAAUUCUAUAGUACAAAAAUUGGUUUUAUUAAUGAUGCCCUUGUAGGUGAAUUGUUUGUUUCAAUUUAUGUAAAAUUCUAUUUUACAUACUUGCAGUGUAGUGUAAUAUUUUUCAAUACUAAAAAUUUGGUUUGUUGUGGGUAUGCUUACUUGUGUGGUACUUUGGUCUUCUAUUUUUCAUUAUUCACCAAUUUUCAGUUAUCCAACUACCUUGGAUUCAGUGUUGUCUUGAAAUUAUCACUAUUAUACUCACAUUGCUACUUUCAUAGUUUAAUUUCAAAUUUGUGAUGGCAUGCUUAUGAUAAUAUAGAAUAUGAAUUUCAGGAGAAUAUUCUGUUGUGAUAAAGGAGAGUUGGAAACCUUCAGGAAUGAAGGGUGUGUUUAUAAUAAAAAAGAAUUCUAUUUUUUAUUUAUUUUUUAAAAUAUGGAAAAAGGAUAUUAAACAUGUUCUAGUUAUUGGUUAUUGCAACUAUUAUGCUCACAACACAGUAUUAUUUUUUUAGUAAAGAACCAAUAUAAUAACAAUGGUGUACAUACUUAACAACUUUUUUUCUUGUUCAUUUGUCCUUGGAAGUUCUUUUAUUGAUAAUUAGAUCUUUAUAGUGUGUUUGGAAAUCUCAUUGGCAUGUGAAAGUUGUAACUAUCAACUUCUAAACCCCAUCUGGGAUAUGGAACCAAAUCUCAUUUCGAUAACUAAAUUGCUUUUAACGCUCUCAUGUAUUCUGCAAUUAGUCACAAAAUGCACCAUCAAAACCAUGAACACAUUGAGAAAGAUGAGUGAUGGGUUCCAGUAUUGUGACUAAUUGCUUUUGAAUCGUAACUUAAGUUUGUAUGGCUACAUGAUUUGGUAUUUCUGAAAAAGAAGCAUAACUUAAUUUUUUGUGCUUCUAAUUAAAAUGUAUUCUUACUUAGGGACUUUUCACUACUACAAUCUACAACACAAACCCAUUUUCUUGUUUCUUUCUUGCAUUAGUGUCUAUCUACUAUAUAGAUGCCUUCAUUCUUGUUACAUAUUUGCAUUUGUAGCACUAGUAGAUAUAAAGUAGACGGAUACUUGUAUAAUUUUGUUGAUGAGCCUAAGAUACUGAUAACUGAAAAAUGGAACGAGGCUAUGAAUUAUCAACUUUAUGACUAAGAGGAGAACCACGUACUUCUAGGUAAUGAGCUGAAAGAGAUUUGUUAUUCAACUUUUGUCACUAUUACACCAGUUUUUGUUGAUUAUAAAUAUGCUAUGCUAUGACUUAAUAGCAAGCCACUUUAUUUUAUAUAUUGUCAUUUUAACUCUUCCCAAAAUUCCAGUAAAGACUAGUGACAUAUCCAAAAUUGUUUGUGUAAGCAUAUAUAUCAUACUUAAAAAUAUACUUUUAAUAGUUUUGUACACUUAUUAGUUUUUAUGCAUUGAAUAAAUAUUUUUUUAGAAGGUGUCGAGGUCUGUUUUGAAUUUAUAGGUUGGGUUCAUUGUGAAACAAAAUAAAUAUUAAAAAAUGCACUUAACUUCAUCCGUUGUGCCUGCAACCGAUGUAGAAAGUACCUUUACAACAUCAAUUUUGAGCAAAACCAAUGAUGUAAGAAGGUUCUUUAACAUCGAUUUUUGAACCGUCGUCAAAAGUUGUCCACUUUCAAUAAUGGUCAAUUCAACAUUGGUUCUAAACCAAUGUUAAAAUCCUCCAAAAUCGAUGUUGAAAGCUUUUUUUUAGUAGCGGAGGAAACAAAAAAAAGGAACUGUGAGAAAGGAUGGGAAAGAGAAAAUGUUUCAAUGUGGGAGAAUGUAUGAUAAUACUAUACAAAUUGAUGUAUAUAUAUAACGACUAUAAAGAGUGAUGCAUAAUGAACCACUUGACUAAGUGGUCUAUGCUAGAAUUUGCCAUGAGAUAUAUGUGAUUUCUUUUACCGCGAAGAGAAGUUCUCAAAGAAAAUUAACCUUAUUUAUUUUUCGCAACAUUUUUAUUUAUUAAUUAGCUAUGGGGUAAAAGGUGUCAUCAUUAAAAUCUUAAAAUGAUAUAAGAUGGCACUUGAAAAGAAAUAAAAAUAUUGUUAGGAGUUAAACACAACUCAAUCCAAAAGACUAGCAUAUUAGGUGGAAGAGCCUUAUAGUUUAAGGGUACCACAUCAAGUAUUUAUUAUUCUCAAUGUGGGACUACUAACACUCUCACACCCUUUAAGAGUCGAUAUUCACAACAGGUUUUACUCUAUUAACACUGACCGAUGGUAACCCUUUAUGCUUUGAUGACUUCACUCAAGUAUUAGUAUCAAUUUGGUACCUUAAUCUAAAUUAUAGAUAAUCCUUUUUGUAGUUUAAUUUUUAAUGAAAACAACAAUUAUUAAGACUUAAGUAAAUGAACAAAACCCAAUUCUGAUCCAUUGACUAGUUCAUUAUGUGACAAAGUCUCAUACAUGAUUUAUGUACCACAUCAAAUAAUUUAUUUUUCUCAACAGAAGACUCCAAACAUUAUCACCCAUGUUAAGACCCCUUUGAUCCCUCAAAUACUCCCAAUAGUACAAUACGAGAUAUAAUGGGUCCAUAAUGCGGGAGAUUACUAACUCCCAGGACUCUAAACAUACCCAUGUUUACCUUAAUCAGGUACACAUAAUUAAUUUUCAUACUUAAUUAUCACUUUUAAAAAUUCUAAAUUGAGUGUCAUUCUCUACCGAUACACUACAACCCUCUUUGUUGCACCACCAGACAGUAUAUAUUUGGAUUCACACAUGGGACCUCCAUUAUGAUCAAGAAUUAGCUAGCACCAUUAUUUAUCCCCAUGACACAUUCGAUACGCUCCAACGGUUGAUAAUCCUCUCGUCCGUAUAGAUUAUAAGUAAUAAAAAAAAUCUUGAUAAAAAAUCAGUAACAAAAAACCACCAAUUCUGCUUUCGUUAUAGAAGAAGAAGUCUACUUAAUUAAUUAAGGGAAGGACUUGUUUUUGGAUCAAAGAAAAUAGCCAGAAUGGAAAGCUGUCAUAUGUGGAACGGAACCAGAAUCUUGUGAAGGUAUAAUAUGUAUGUUAAAAUUCAAUUAAAUAGAGACUGCAUGGACUAUUACGUGGAGGCUGCAUGAUAUAUAUUAAUGUGGCCUCUCUUGUCCUGGUUCUCUCUAUUAUAUUACGUCCAUGGUAUUGGUUUUUUUAUUCAAUUCUCUUUAGCUAAGGGUGUAUUACAUGCCGGAAGGGGGUCUUAUAUAUAUUUUAGUUAUUCCACUGGUGCACCUCUUGCCGAUAUUAAGUUAAUUAUUCUUGGAUUCUUUUGCUACUCGGUUUUCAAUAAUUUUUUUUGUUAUAUAAAAAAGUUCUCGUAUAUAUAGAGAGAACCUUAUCUAACCUAGCUCAAUUUUUGCUACGAUGUCAAACUUAAAUUCAAUGUAAAAUUAAUUAAUAUCACGAAACACCAAGAUCACCGAAACUAUUAAGCCUCCGGAAUAUCUGCAUACCUGUGCAUGUGAAAGUUAUAUGGAGUCCAAAAUAGGAGAAGCAAACUAACUACACGAAUAUGCUCCCUUGUCAAAACGACAAAUGAAUAACAACAAAAUUAACCAAUCAAUCUGCUUUAUAUAGCGAAAGACCACACAAACCUAACAGCCUCGAAAUUUUUUCCUCUUUGGAUGCAAUUGGAAUGAUUAAUCUUAUCACAGAUAUUUGAUAUAUAUAGGUUGAGUACCCCAUUACUCUCUCUUAAUAAAUUCCUUUUCCUUAUAUAAAUAAAAAAAGAAGUAUAGUUAACGCCAAACAUAUAUUGUGGAUUAAUGAUGCGCGCACGAUAGUUAUGUAUCAUGAUGCUUAUGAAGUUGGUGGGUUAACAAUUGUUCCUACAUAUGACACCAAAUGUUCAGUACCAACCCAAAAGAUGGAAUUUUUUAUGUAACUCAAGUUGAUCUCACCUUGAACCUCUCAAACCUUCCACUCUGAACAGGGUGUGGAUAUUAGAUAUGAUCAUAUGAAAUGCAUGAAUGUUUACCUCUCUUCUUCCUUUCUAUCCUUUUAUAUAUACUCAAUGUUUCACUCCGUUAUUUAGUUGUGUAAUCCAUAUGUGUGCAUGCUAGGUAUACCUUCUGUAUCUCGAGAUUUGCAGGUUCUGUUACGAUUUUUCUCAAUCCUUCUUUGGGUAUUUUGCACCUUCUUAUUCUUAUUUAGACAUGUAAUUUAAUUAGACACGUAAUUCUCAAUCCUUCUUAUUCUUAUUUUAAAAAAAAGUUAAUUGAGAUGUGUUUAAAAUUUGUAAUAAUACUUAAAAAACGCUUUAAUAUUAGAGAUGUAACUCAUGUAAGUAUGUUUUAAAAGUUUAAUUCCUUAAAAUAAAAGUUUACUAAAUUAUGAUCAAACCAUCGAUCUAAAAUAAAAAAUUCAAUUGUUUAAAUUUUAUGAUGUAUGUAUAACAUUUUAGUUUAAUUUUCACAUAUUGUAAUGUUAAUGUAAAAAUUUAUAUUAUCAAUUAAUAAAAACCAUGUUAAAUAUCACUUUUAAAUUAAUUAUUAAAAAGUGAAUAGUCUUAUAAUACAUAAUAAUGACACAUUUUUUUGUAUAGUAAUUAUCUUUUUGGUACGGGUGAUACGGCACAUUUAGUUUAGUUUCUAAUUAAAUUCAUACUAUUUGUUUUCUCUGAGAAAGUAUUUGACACGACACAGCCGUUUGCAUUUCUCUUUAGUUGAACUUAAAUACCACAGUCAAUGUUGAAAGUUCUCGACAUGAUAGUUUGAUGUUACGUAUUAACCCUGGCCGACACUAUGGUUAGGCAAAAGGAGGGGAAAUUAAUUAAUAUAUUAAAUUGGACUACAUACUACUUUUUAAAAAAGAAAAAAAAAAUUGCCCUCCCCACAUGGAGAAACUCUUCAUUUUCACAAACUAAAUAGAUAAUUAUCUAACAACUCCUAGUGUCAGAAAGUUUAUGACUAUGCAAGUAUAAAGAAGGUUCAUUCAGCGUUAUGCUUGUAUAUGUAAAGAGGUUAUUUUUCCAUUUAAACUAUGAUCAACCAAACCAAAUUGCAACUUUACAAUUAUCUUUGUGGCAGGGCUCACUCUCAUCACGAACUAAAUAGAUAAAAUAUAUUAAAAAAGUCAUACAUACUUUUUUAUGAAAUAAAUAAAAUAUUAUCUACCUCUUUUACGUCAAAGUAUUAUUUACAUUAUAUAUAUAUAUAUAUAUAUAUUUCCUUUUUACCGAUUAACAUCCAAAUCUUUCUUCCUUUGAGGUUUAAAUCUAACAUUUCAUGCAAACUAUCCAAAAUUUUCACUAUUAGACUGAUUUUAGUGCCAUGUCAGAAUUAAUUUCUAGUCAAAUUAAAUUAAUGAGGGAAUGGGUUUAAAUUUUAAACACCAAAUGGUAACGAAGGAUAUAUAUACACUAGAAAGCCACUAAUUCUAAAGCAUCUUUACAUCACCUUUACGAAUUAGGAUUACCUUCAUCACGGGCUGAAUAUAACCCGAUUUCCACUUGUCACUACAUGUCAAAAAUGUCCUCUUACACAGCAUUGCUUUUUUCUUAUUCCCCUUGUCCAUGAAAAAUUGAAAUCGUAGUUUUGGCCCUCUUUUUUCACAAUUUUUUUUGUCACUGUGAUCGACUUUGUCCGUGAAUCCAAGCUGAACGAGAGAAGCUCAUUCACUCUGCCACACCGUGGGCCCCACCUAUAUAUCCUGAACGAUUUUUCGGUCCUUGAAGUCAAUGAUUCAUCGCAAAAAAUGAAUAAUUUAAUUCCAAUUGUUAGGAGUUAGAUUUAGAUUUAGAUUGAUUGAUUGAUUGCCACAACUCUUGUCCGUGAUCAUUAAGACUCACGAGAAAGAAAGAGAAAAAAACUAGGGUUGGAUCAUGAUAUAAAGGCCCCUCAUUGUAUCUUCACUACUCAAACAUAUAUUCCCCCUUUCCCUAGUUUAGCUACUUACCUCAAUCUUUCUCAUGGGAAAGUUUGCCCUAGCCAAUAUCCUCUUGGUCCUUCUCUUGAACUUGAGCACUUUGCUCAAUGUUCUUGCUUGUCCCUAUUGCCCUUACCCUUCUCCCAAGCCUCCAAAAAAGCCUCCCGUUGUGAAACCACCGGUUCACAAACCACCAAAACCAUGUCCACCACCCAAGUCAUCUCCAAAACCACCCCAUGUACACCCUCCCUAUGUUCCAAAACCUCCUCACUACCCUAAACCACCAGUUCAUCCACAUCCACCCCAUGUCCCAAAACCUCAUCCAAAGCCUCCAGUGCAUCCCCAUCCACCUUAUGUCCCAAAACCACCAGUUGUGCCAGUUACACCACCAUAUGUUCCAAAACCACCAAUUGUGAACCCUCCCUAUGUCCCAAAACCGCCUGUUGUGCCAGUUACACCACCUUAUAUCCCUAAACCACCAGUUGUGACACCACCAUAUGUCCCUAAACCACCAGUGGUGCCAGUUACACCACCAUAUGUCCCUAAACCACCAGUGGUGCCAGUUACACCACCUUAUGUGCCAAAACCACCCAUUGUGAAACCACCAAUUGUUUAUCCACCAGUUGUGCCAAAACCACCAAUUGUUACACCACCUUAUGUGCCAAAACCACCCAUUGUGAAACCACCAAUUGUUUAUCCACCAGUUGUGCCAAAACCACCAAUUGUUACACCACCUUAUGUGCCAAAACCACCCAUUGUGAAACCACCAAUUGUUUAUCCACCAGUUGUGCCAACACCACCUAUUGUGUAUCCACCUGUUGUACCAACUCCACCGGUGGUUACUCCACCCGUGGUUACACCACCAAGUCCUCCAAGUGAAACACCAUGUCCACCACCACCACCACCAGUGGUGCCAUACCCACCACCAGCACAACCAACAUGCCCCAUCGACACCCUAAAACUGGGGGCAUGUGUGGAUGUGCUUGGUGGCCUCAUACACAUUGGCAUAGGCAGCAGUGCCCAGCAGACCU